This 45854-nucleotide long non-coding RNA is filed under the name Lathyrus oleraceus (garden pea). RNAcentral's name for it is "Pisum sativum (pea) long non-coding RNA (PSAT_LNC022103)". The record is from RNAcentral. Lineage: Eukaryota; Viridiplantae; Streptophyta; Magnoliopsida; Fabales; Fabaceae.
UCAGGAGAAAAUUCAAAUUCAAAUUCUAAAUGAGGGAAACUUCAUUAGAAAGUCAACAUUACAUUUACAUUUCCAAAAUAUUAUUACAAGUUAACAUUCCAUACAAGAACAACAUUACUAUAAGAGUACAUGAAAAAAUCUAUAUUUGAUCUACAAAUGACUUUUGGUCAACUGUUGACUUUUGGUCAAUUGUUGACUUUUGGUCGAACAGUUGACCAAGUAGUUGACCAAAGUUUGACCUAACCCUGAUUUAACUCUAGACCUAUUUCUAACCUAAUCUCCAAGUCUUCUUCAUCUUCAUCCAUCACCUUGACCAUAUUGCCUCCAUGACCAAAAUUUCAUAGAGUGCCAUGCUUGUAUCACCAAGACUUCAUAAUGCACCAGCCAUCCAAACCUGCACCAGACCUGCAACAUCAAAGUCAAAUCCAUCUCAACCAUGUUCUCAAUGUAGUAUACAUCUCAAUGCAUCUAAGACACAUGACAAAUACAAGUUAAAUGCAAGUAUCAAGAGCUAGAUACAAGCAUUUGUCAUCCAAACAUGUAUAAAACACAACACCAAUUGAAACUUCAAAACAUAAUUUCAAGAAGACAAAUUCAACAUACCACAAUUUUUUGACACAUAAGUCAUAGUGUAGCCCAAACAUGAUUCACAUACACACUUCAGUACAACAACAUUCAUCAUUCCAUACCAUGAGUCAAAACAAUCCAAAACCAUGGUUAACCACAUAAUCACCAUCAACAAACCAAUGUAAUGCAUCUGCCAUGAUUGUGAAAUUCAUAAUAGUUAUUCAAUGCAAUGCAAAUCAUGUUCAGUUUCAAUCAUCCAAAUACACAUUAUCCAACCCGAGCCUAGCACUUAAUCAAAGACUUCAGUCAUGCUAUGCAAUGCAACUACACAUACAUCAUCACACAUACAAAGCAUUCAUCAAGCUCUAAAUCAAAAUUCAGCAUAAUGAUGUCCAUACAAUUCAAUCUACAUUUAGUCAAACAUAACACUAUUAAUCCAUCAUUACAACUCUCAAACAUGAUCCAAAUGCAUAAACAAAACACCAAUUAUGCUAUGCAACUCAAGGUCAUCAUUCGUUACAAUUGUCAUAACUAAUUUAUAAACCAUUAAAAAACCCCUAAUUUAACCAAUCUAACUACCUUUACAUCUAAUUAACAAACUCUUAACCAACAUAAUUACCUUCCCUAAUCAAUUGCCCCAAAGAUAACCAAUUUCCAAAGUUUGUUAUCACAUUUUCCCUCCAAAUAAUUAACUUCAAAAACCAACUAUAUCCAUCUAACAAACUUGAAAAAAAAACCCUCAACUAACUGCCUAACAAACCUGCCACGUGUCCUAGUGAAAUACCCAAAAUUCCCUUGAGCUAGAAAUCCCUCCAAAUUUCAAAUAACUAACUUUCAAAGGCCAAACUAACACAUUCCUACUUCAUUUUUUCAACUAAAAUUAGCACAAAAGAAACACAUUCCUCUCAACUUUCUCACACCCGAACUGACAUACAAUCUAACUUCUCAUCAUCUAUUCUCCACCCUUGAUUAGUUCAAUCCUAGGAUCACUAUACAAAGACUAGAAUUCAAUCUCACUCAAUCCUUAACAGAAUCAGAUAACUUUCCCUAUAAUUUCCUCGACAAUCAUCUAUAUAAACCUAACUUUCACCGUCAUCAUAGGGAUACAAAAAUUACCCUAACAAUACUCUGUUGAAUUCUUCCCUUAACUCACCAUCACCAAAGCUCUCAAAUUCCUCAAUUGCAAGAGCUUUAACACUUACAACUCUUAGCAAUCGAGCUAAAUCUGCAUACACCAAUCUCUUCCAUAACUGAUUUAAUCUUUGUGCUCACUCAUCUAUGCAAAUUCAUGUUUCUAACCUAAUAUCCACACUCUCAUCACUCUUUUAUUCUAUCCUAAUACAUCAACAAUAAUAACAAGCUCACACAAUAAUUUGAAACUAAACCAAGAGAAUCAAAAAUAAGGGGAAGAAAAAGAAGAUUGAGUUUACAAGAACUUACAUAAGCAUUAGAGCCUCCUCUCUGGUCUUUUAUCAUUAUCACCAGCUAAUCGUGUUGCUCUGACCAAGGCACUUCUCAUCCUUGUAGGCAAACAUUGAAACCUCCCUCUUCCAUCUUCUUGGCUUCACUUUUGUUACCAAGUGGUUGAGAGGACUUGUGUGAAUGAAACACCCAUGGUUGCAGCUUGAGGUCAUGAGUGAAAGCCAUUUAAUUUAAGUUCCAAAUGUUCUAGGGUUAAUGUUAAGCUGAGAUUUCAAUGUGUAGGGUUAGUUUCCUGUGUGAUUGAAGCAUGGGUGUGAAUAGGAGAGGGUGGGACGAAUCUAAUGGUGGUGGUUAGGUUUGAUUCUGAGUCGUGCCGCUACCGAAGGCGAUUUUCGGCGUGGUGGCGGCGACUUCAUGUGAUCUUUGAGAGUGAAAGGAGGGAGAGACGAGUCUGAAGGUGAGUUUGCCAAAUGAGAGAGUGUUUCUCUCUUUUCCCUCUUGUUGACUCCUCUCAUGGGCCAUAGAAACUAGGGUCAUUGGCCUUUUGCUUCCACGCACCCUUUCAUCACAUGUUACACCUCCUCCCUAAUGUAAAAUAAUAACAACAAAUGAACUUGGGCCAUGCCUCCAUGGGCACAACACUGAAAUUAUCAUCCACGCCUUUUUUUUAAUUUUGGACCACUAGAAGAAUUUUGUUUCUUUGAGAAAUUAUUUUUUAAUCUUUUUUUAGCAUCAAAUUAAUACCCUAAGCACGAUUGGGAUUAGAUUAAUUAAUUUUAUAAUUAAAAUUCUUAAUUAGGAUAAGAUUAGUUUAAGGAUAGAAAUUAGAGUUUAUCUUUAACCUUGAUCUUCUCCCUUUGAUGUCAUGGUUGAAUUACUUCUUGAAGUGCUUUUUUGAUUCUUUUGGAUGAAUUGUUUGACCUAAAAACUUGCAUGAUCCCCCAUUGUCUUGAUUUAAUUAAUUGGUUAAAUUAUAUUUGGCCAAUUAAUUGAAUUAAUGACUUUAGGAUGUUAUUUAGUUAAUCCUUUUGAUUAAUUAGUUAUACGAUUAAAACCCUAGAAAAUAGAUAAAUAUUUGCAUGAUAACAUCAGGCUUCAUCCCCACUUUGGGUACCCUAAUUCCUUUAAUAAUUUGUCUUCUUCUUUGUUUAAGUAAAACUAAAGUCUCUUUUUCUUAAUAAACCAAAAGUACCUAUAAAAUACAAAUCAAAUUGUGCGCAACGAGCCUUAAGAAAUGGAAAAAAAUGAGAGGGUGUAUUCAUAUCCUUAUUUUGAAUAUCUUUGGAUACAGGACGCAUGACCCAGUUGAUCAAAAUAUUCACCUUAAUUCAUAGUGCAAUUUAAAUCAAGGCAAUUUUCAUAAUUAAAAGGAAGAAAAAGGAGGAGGAUGCAGACUUUCUCUCCCCGAAUGUUCAGACACUAUUAUAGAGCUCCCUGUCUGAAUAUUCAUCUUCAGACUAAAAAUUAAUCACAGCCAAUCAAAUUUAACUUUUUCACCUUAGGGCAUUCAAAAGCUUUUCAUAAAGGACAUGUUAUUUUUUUUUCUACCGUAAUACAAAGAACGCUGAAACCUCUCACGCGCGAGUGUACAAGAAACAUUUAACUACUAAAAUCUAGGCACUUUAUCUUAAGAUCAUCACAUAUAAAUGUUCUACAUAUUAUAUCAUAUACUUUAGUGCGGAAUAGAAUAUAUAAUACAAACAUGUAUAUAAUUACAUGAUCUACUACAUGUUAGUAUAUGAGAGAAGAGAUUUCAGGAAUACUUUGAUCUAUUGAGAAAGUUUUUCAUUGGCGGUAAUCCUGAAAGCUAGAAGACAAACAAAGAACACAUGUGGCUUGUAUGGUUCUUCCUCAACCAGUACUACUAAUGCCUUGAAUACUCUUCAGAUGGGGAGAAGAGAUAAUAUGCUUGUGUACGGUAUAUUGGGGACCAUAGCCUAUAUAUAAGGUGAUGGCCAAUUAGGGUUCCCACUAUUUCGAAAUGGAUCAUCCUGACAUCCACUCAUAUUUUAGCCCAUAUCCAAUUAAUUAAUUACUAAAUAGAAAUCUAAUUAGCCUUUGAAAUUUAUUUGACCACUUAAUCAAUUAAGUCUCUUAAUUUGAUAAAUAACUAAUAUAAUUAAAAUAUAUAUACCCACAUAAUGAUUAUUGGAAUAUAAUAAUUAAAUAAUAUUUAAAUUAUAAAAUAUUCUAACAAUCUCCUACUUGGGAAAUAUAUUUUUAAUAAUUAUAUCACAAUUAUUUAGGCGUGCAUCCGAAUGUUAUUUAUCUUUAGAUUUCAACUUUACAAUCUGAUCCACCUCAUACAUCAACAAUGGGACCACCGCAGUUGUUGUCACAUAAGUAUAAUGUAAUAAAACCCUGACGACCACCACAUCAAUAUACUUGAUGACAUAGAUCAAUAUGGAUGAGUGACAUGAACAUUUCAUGUAAUGUGAUAUACGAAUCAUGCCUAUUUCCAACUGGUCCAACUGAAUUCUUUAUUGAGAUCAAGCUGAAGUUUGCAAAUUCAAUAUUUGCACAAAUGAUGAUGAAAUGGUUAUAACAAUAAUAACCUCAUAAACUUUAUUUCUGCAUAUAAUCUUAACAUAAAGUCUAUAUCGAUAUCAAAAAAAUAUUAUAAAACAUAAAGAAUGAGUGACUCCCACUAAUUUAGGACAUCCUUAGUGACAACAAUCAUAUGAAAGAUCUUAUAUGUCAAGUCAUUGAUUAGUGAGUCUUUAGCUUAAAUUCCAUAUGUAUAUAUUCCAGUUUCAACAAUAAUAACUUAUAAGUCAAUGGUCCUUUUAAAAUCUAUUGUUGAAACACUAUAUGAUUGUCUUAUAACACAAUAUAACUUGAGUGGUAUUUCAAAUCCUUAAAUUUAAUUGCAACUGAAUGACAUGAAUACAUACCUUAAUUUAUUUUGCAUUAGAAUGUCUAUUUGACAGACAGUUAACUUAUGGGACUAUAAGGUAAGCUAAAGAGAUCACUUUAUUAACUCAUAAAUAAUUUUUGUCAAUUUGGAAACCAUAUACUUUUUGUCUAUUGACACAAAGUUUCUCACGACUGCACCAUAUUAUUUCAUUAAUAUUUUAUUAAGAAAUACAAUCUUAACAUUCAUCUAAUGUAGUUCCAAAAUAUAUAAUAAGCAAAGAGUGUCAUGAUUAAACAUACAAAGAAUUUCAAGAAAACCAAAUUGAUUUCUCUUUAUAGUAAAUCCUUUAUAACACACGGUGCCCUAGUCUUUGAAGGUGUUGAGUUUGAUCUUCAUAAAUCAAUUUAUAAACUAGCUUGAGAGAAAGAACCAUAGUAUUAUCGUGAGGAUCAAAAUUUACUAUAUUAAUAGUAAUGUAACAACCCGUAUAAUAUAUAUCUAGAAUAAUAUCAUACAAGUGUUAAUAAUUGGUACUGAUCCAACAUAAGUGCCUAAUGGCAUCAAUAUAUAUACAUGUCCAAACUAAAAACAUCAAUGGUAUCUAGAAUAAUAUCAUACAAGUGUUAAUAAUUGGUACUGAUCCAACAUAAGUGCCUAAUGGCAUCAAUAUAUAUACAUGUCCAAACUAAAAACAUCAAUGGAACAUGUUAUACAAUAAUGCCUAAAUAAUAAAAAUUUAAGAACUAUGUGCAAUAUCUUUAUUGCACACAACUCUACAGCGGAAGAUCAUGAUAAAUAGCAUCCCUUGAAACAUCCAUAACAACUUCUCUUAGAUUCAACCUGUAAGGAUUACCUGAAAAAUAACAACAAUAAUGGGAUGAGAUAAUAAUCUCAGUGAGUUCUCCUAUCCUAUGGGUCCACUCGGCUCUACAGGGUUUCUAAUCAAUAUUCAACUUAUAUCCAACUCAAGUCAACAAGGGAACGAAGACUUGAGCGAUGGGGAAGCUAUCUCGCAAUUGUAUGGCAACAUGCAUCUGAGUUCUCAUAACUCAACCACGAUCAUUAUUCAGAUCACGAAACAUCAAUUCCCGAACGGACUUACGUCUAAGCCACGCCCGGUUCAUGCAUGCUCGUAUGAUUCGACUUUCGCGGUGGAUAUCAGGUUCCCCUAUGGGACUCGAACCCACUUUUAAGAACCAUCACUCGUAUGGGACUUUACCCACUUUGAGUCUCUUUCACCGUAUGGACUCUAACCACUUAGGGUGUCCACCUUUUCCCCAUGUCCGCCAUGGUUGGGGCUCAAACCCAAUUGAGGCUCGAAUCAUUGGUCCCACAUCCCAAUGCUUACUCAUCUAAGCAUACCAAUAGAGAUGUGUACCAUCACAGAAAAACACACAUUCUGAAUACAUGAUCGGUUUCACAAAUCAUUGGUUCCACGAACCAUAAUAAAAUUCAUCAAUCACAGGUGACUGUAUGCACUACAAUACACAAAUAAUAGCUUGGCAUGUUCCAUACAAUGCAUCUCAUUCUCAAUCAUGGAAACAAUUUGUCCACGACCUCCACAUAAGCGUCGUACGAAUGAAUAUUGUAUUCUCAUACAUAUAUCACACGUGUUCCAUAACCUAGAUUAUAUUUCUAAGUUAUUAAUCAAGUUAUUCUCCUAGGUUUCCUCACUUAUCUUUGUAAGGUUUUUAAUCAAGUAAUUUCACAAUCAAACAUAUCAACAAUGUUUAACAUUCAUCAUAAUAUUAUUCAUAGAAUUUGUAAGACACAUAAUAUACUAUAACAUGGUAUGAUAAUGAUAGCCUUUUUCAUUAUCCUUCUAACGCAUCCGUCCGCGUCCAAAACGAAGUUAUAAUCCUCAAUUAAUUUAUUAAUCUAUCUUAAUCAAGAUUUAGAUUAACAUUUAUUCAUUGCAUAAGUAUUCAACAACAAAAUCAUUGGCCUAGUGGUAAGGCUUGUAUUGUUCCAAGGAGGUCCCGAGUUUGAAUUCCAUUGGUGACAUAUUUUAAUUCAUCAAAUAAUUAAUUCAUGUAAAUAGAUUGAUCAAAUGAAUGAAUCGAUUGAAUGUGAUCAGUUCAAACAGUCGAUCGAUGCCAAAGACCAAUCGAUUGGUUCCUGAAAAAUUUCACUUCAUUUUUCAUCUUUUAACUCCAUUUAUACCAUCCCUAACCAUCUUCAAUUCAUCCCAUCAACCCAACCAAUAUGAGCAUCAUGUAAACAAGGAACAACACCUUAAUCCAUCACAACAUAACAUCCAUUCAUAUGGCAACAUGAAAGAUCACAAACAACAUACAACAACAACUACAUGGCACCAAGGGGAGUAUAAACACAACAAGUUCAUCACAAGUUCUCACAAAUCCUAACCCCCAAACAUGGAUUAUUUUCCCCCAAAUGCUAAAUCUAUCUAAGAACUCACCUCAUGAUUGAUGAAGAUGGUGAGAAGAAGAUGAUGAAGAAGAUGACAUGAUGAUGGUGGUGAAUGUUUCCAUGGCUUUCUCUUCUUCUUCCUUCCUUCAUUUUCUUCUCUUCUUCCUCUUUUCCUCUUUCUCUCCUCUUCCCUUUCUUUCUUUUCUUUCUGAUAACUCUCUCCUUCUAUCUUACCUACUACCUCUCUUCUUAUCCACUUCUUCUUUUCUUUCCCACCACACAAAAUACUAUAUAAUAUAUAUAAAUAAUAUAUAGUAUUAAGUAGUAAUAUAAAAUAUCUCAAUUGAUAUUUUAUCUUCCAAUACCAAUUGACCAAUUAUCAAUGUUAUCAAAAAUGUCCUCUCUUGUAAUUAUUAAUAUUGGUCUGUCUCUUUUAUUAAUAAUUAAUAUCUUCAGACAAUUGACAACAUUUAGAGCACAUAGGAGCUCCAAUUAUUACAACUAACAAAAGAUAUAGUACAUAGGAACUCAAUUGAUCUCAACUGACAACUAAUUGAGCAUUUAAGGGAAUAUGGGAUAUUAGAAGUAACUAUAUGAAUUGGAUUAUAACAAAUUCUUCCUCAUUUAAUAUUAUUCUUUAACCAUAUCUCUCCCCCAAACUCAACAUCCUCAAAAAACUUUGAAGAUUCCCCUUCAAAUACUCUUUAACUUGUGGGAUAAACACAAUUAUAUUUCUCAAACAUUUUAACAAUUAUAUAUUUUCACAAGUCAUAACUAAAAGACUCUAAUAAUAUUUGAAUUUAGAAGAUAAAUUUAAUCAUUAUUUUAAAAUAAUAUAAAAUUGUAUUAGCAUAACAUCAUUGAGCAUAUGUCGGUUCAGAUCAUAUUUUCUUAUUAUUCUUUAUUUGUCCUUAUCCUUUGAGGUAUUUACCGAAUGAGCAUUAUUUUAUUUUCUCUUACUUCAAUCUUUUCUUUAUUGUGCACUUUAUAAAAUUAUUCUAUUAAAGAAUAAUUUAUAACUUUAAUAGUUAUAAACUUAAUUGUGCAAAGAGAAUACCAUAUGCUAGAUUUUCGACAAAAUCACCUAAUUGACGAAACUAUAGCGCAUUAGGAAGGUUAAAUAGUUUCAUAAUGCACUUUUGAUAUUUUCUUUGCUUAAUAAUCUUAAUGAAAAGUCAUUACUCUAAUGAGAGUUUGUCUCGUUAUUGCCUUAAAAAUACCUUAGAUUAAGCAAAGAAAAUGUGAAAAAAAUUGUGUCAUUUUAAAUGAUACCAAAAAUUAAGAAAUGCCAUACUUUAUGAUUAUAUGUUAGAUUUACCUUAAAAGAGAACAACAAAAUGGAAUAAAAUUUACUCACCAAAAUGCCAAAUUCACCAUUGAUAUUAAGUCUUUAGGCACUAAAAUCAAUUGUUAAUAGUAUUUAGUUUCAAUGAUCAAACACUGACAAUUAAUAUUUAUAAAUAGGGCUGGAAAUGAACCAAACCAACUCGAAAAUAGUUCGAGACUCGAUUCGAUAAUUAAUUCGUUGGACUUGGUUCAUGAACCAAAUGAGUCGAACUUGAGCUCAAAACUAAGUUCGUAAAAUAAAUGAGCUUGAAGUGUGAGCUAUGUAAGUUCGACUCGUUUAGCGUUCAUGAGUCGAACUUCGCGCCAGUAUAUAUAUAUAUAUAUAUAAUAUAUUAUAUAUAUAUAUAUAUAUAUAUAUAUAUAUAUAUAUAUAAUAUAAUAUAUAUAUAUAUAUUAUAUAUAUAUAUAAUAUAUAUAUAUAUAGAAUAUAUAUAUAUAUAUAUAUAUAUUAAAUCAUAAUCUUACAAUUAGUAUCAUUUUAAAAAAUUAAUGUAAGAUUUUAACCUUUUAACUUAUCAAAUUAAAUAUUUUAAAAAAUACUUGUGACAUUUUUUAUUUACAAAGUAAAAUACUUCUCACUCAAAAAAAAAACAUAAUGCACCGUGAAUUUUAAUUUUUAAAGUGCCAUUUUUAACUUACUCUAAAUUUGUUUUUUAAAACUACCACCACUUUAAAAAAUAACAUUUUUUAAAUAUUGUACAAGUUUAUAUGAUUAAUUUGUAUCCUUUUAUAUUAUUUGACUUUAUCUAUUAUUAUUAACUAUUUUAAGAUUGUUAAAAUAUGCCCAUUUAUUAGUAUUGCCAUUUUCCCAAAGCAAACUUUAAAAAUUGUCAAAUAAAUAAAAAAAAUUAAACUUUAAAAAAUGACUUUUUAGUCCGUGAAGUAAACAAACUGAACCUAACGAACUGAACCUAACGAGUUGAACCGAGUUGUUCAAGAACUUAAAACGAGUCGAGUUCGAGCUUAAAAAGUUCGUGUCGAACUCGAGUCGAGUUUCAAGCUAAACUAAUUCUUAUCGAGUCGAGUCGAGCUGACGACGGGUUCGACUCGACUCAUUUCCAGCCCUACUUACAUGGUAACUCUUGUUAUAUGCGAAUUCAAUCAAUGGUAAAAGCUCAUUCCAAUUCCCUCCACUUUCAAGUACACAAGCUCUUAACAUAUCUUCCAGUGUCUGUAUCGUCCGUUUAGUCUGACCAUCCGUUUGGAGAUGAUUAGACUUAAUCAAACAUAAUCUCGAUCCCAUAGCUUGUUGGAAUGCCUUCCAAAAUCUUAAGGUAAACUUUAGGUCUCUAUCGGACACAAUACUAGUUGGAACACCAUGCAACCUAACAAUUUCUGAAAUGAACAACCGUGCAAGAUGGCAUGUCUUGUAAGUAGUCUUCACGGACAAGAAGUGUGCGGACUUAGUUAACCGAUCCACAAUCACCCAAAUUGAAUCAUAACCACCUUGGGUCCGAGGUAACCCCACUGCAAAAUCCAUUGAAAUACUAUCCCAUUUCCAAACUGGAAUCUCUAAAGAUCGCAAUAAACCACCUGGCUUCUGAUGUUCGAUCUUUACCUGCUGGCAUACAAUGCAUUCUGACACAUACUCUGCAAUAUCCCUUUUCAUUCCAGGCCACCAAUAGUCCUUCUUCAAGUCUUGAUACAUCUUCGAUGAACCUGGAUGUAUAGUAAACGCCCCCUUGUGAGCUUCCUCCAAAACUUUUCUUUUCAGCUCGGCAUCAUUCGGAACACAAAUCCUUUGAUUAAGCAGAAUGACUCCAUCUGGUGACUGAGCGAAACCUGGUUGAGUCAACAUCUCUUGCAACUUCUCAUCUAUCAUUUGUCCUUGUCGAAUCUCUUCUCUUAGGUUAGAAGUAACAUUCAAAUUUCCUAUUAUCACACCAUCCAUUCUCCAACUAAACUGAAGAUUAUAAUCUCGGAACUUUUCCAACAAUGUGUAUUCUAACAUCAUCAACUCAGCUUUAUGCAUCUCUUUCCGACUUAAGGCAUCCGCAACCUUAUUCGCUUUCCCCGGGUGGUACUUAAGCUCAAAACCAAAAUCCUUCAAAUACUCCAUCCAUCUCCUCUGCCUCAUGUUUAACUCUUUCUGGUCAAACAAGUAUUUCAAACUAUUGUGAUCAUUAAACAUCUCAAAAUGCACCCAUAUAAGUAAUGUCACCACACUUUCAAUGCAAAAACAACAACAACUAGUUCAAGAUCAUGAGUCGGAUAGUUCUCUUCAUGAGGCUUCAACUGACGAGAGGCAUAGGCUACAACCUGACCACUCUGCAUUAACACCCCUCCUAAUCCUUUCUUAGAGGCAUCACAAAAUACUUCAUAAGACUUACUAGGAUCAGGGAUGAUUAAAACAGGAGCAGUUGUUAGCUUUUCCUUCACACUCAUAAAACUCUUCUCACACUUCGAAUCCCAUUUAAAAGAAAUUUCCUUCCGGGUAAGUCUAGUCAUUGGUAAUGCUAUCUGCGAAAACCCUUUUAUAAACCUUCGAUAGUAACCUGCCAAACCUAAGAAACUUCUGACUUCAGAAGCAUUCUUCGGUUUUUCCCGAUUAAUAACUUCUUCAACUUUAGAUGGGUCCACUAAUACUCCUCCUUGCGAUAUUACAUGACCAAGAAACCUCACUUUGUUCAUCCAAAAUUCACACUUACUUAACUUGGCAAAAAGUUGCUUCUCUUGCAGUACUGAUAAGACAAUCCUUAGGGGCUCUCCGUGCUCUUGGGGAGUACGAGAAUAAAUAAGAAUGUCAUCAAUAAAGAUCACCACGAAUUGGUUCAAGUAAGGGCAUUCGUUACACCAAACAGCAUUACAAGAAACUCGUAAUGGCCAUAUCGGGUUCUAAAUGCGGUCUUUGGUACAUCCGAACUCUUAACUCUUAUUUGAUGAUAGCCCGAUCGUAAAUCAAUCUUCGAGAACAUGCAGGCUCCUUUCAACUGAUCUAACAAAUCGUCUAUCCUUGGAAGAGGAUAUUUAUUCUUAAUGGUGACUUUAUUCAACUGGAGAUAAUCAAUACACAACCACAUACUACCAUCCUUAUUCUUUACUAGUAACACUGGAGCUCCCCAUGGUGAGACACUAGGUCGGAUGAAAUGCUUGGUUAACAACUCUUCCAAUUGAUUCUUCAACUCUCUCAACUCGAGUGGUGCCAUGCGAUACAGAGAAACAGAGAUUGGAGUCGUCCCAAGUAUCAGAUCAAUAGAGAAUUCCACUUCCCUUUCAGGAGGAAGAGAGGUGACAUCCUUAGGGAAAACUUCCUAAAAUUCACAAACGUAGGAAUUUGCGUAACACUCAGAUUAUCGCUAGAUUCCUUGGUAAGUACUAAGAGAACUGGAUUUUCCUUCUCAAAUAAGAACUUAACCAUACCAACCGUACCUUCCAAGAUAGUAGUUAAUACAUCCUUUGGAGUAGCUUCACUAGAUGGAAUGAUAAUCAACUUCUCUUCGCAUCCAAUAAACACCGAAUUGGCGGAAAGCCAAUCCAUCCCCAAAACCACAUCUACCUUCUUAAGUGGUAAACAAAUGAGAUCAAUCUGGAAAAUCUACCAUUCACCGAGAGCAAACAAUUUUCACAAAUCAAUGGUGUCUCAACUACAUAUUCCAUGGCGGUAGUAACCACCAUAAGAGGAGACAAGGGAAUUGCUUGCAAAGCAAGACGCUUCAUGCACUGAAUUGAUACAAAAUAGUGUAUCGCCCCAUAAUCAAACAAUACAAAACAAGGAUGAUCAUAGACGAGACACGUACCAGCAAUUAAGGCAUUGUUGCUCUUAGCCUUCAUUGCUCAUCACAUCACUAAAUUAAGACAUGUACCAGAAAUUAAGACAAAAGAGUGUGUCGCCUCACAAUCACACAAUUUUAUUGACAACUCUUUUACUUACUCAUCACAUCACCAAAAAUCGGAUGUGACACUCUUUCAAACACAACAUUCCAAAAUUUUCUAAAACAGCUUUUUUUUAAUUAAGAAAAAUGUGUAACAAUUCAUUUAUAAAUUCUUUUAAUUAAAACACUUAUAUUUUCGUAUUCCAUGACUUAUCCUCGUUUAUUCCUCUAAUUAAAAAUCAUGUAUACUCGUUGAUUUAUUUAUGUUGCUUCUCCAUUCCAUAUAUAAAGGUUAUAUACUUAUAAAAAUUGUACAUCCACACGAUACAUCAAAACUCAAAUUAUUAAAUUUUCAUUAUAUUUUCUAUUACGCACUCUAAUUUCUUUAAAAAAAAAUAAAUUAAUUAAUUUUCAAAGAAUUCGAAAAACACUAUGAGAGUUUAUUUAAUUCUUACAAAAAUAAAAUUAUUCAAUUUUCAAAUAAUUCGAUAAAAAGUUAUGAGAAGUAAUUUAAUUCCUAUAAAAAUAAAAAUAAUUUUCUCUCUCUUAAUAAUAAUGAUAAUAUUAUUAUUAUUCAAAUCUCUCAUAAAAAAUAAAUAAUCGAUUUUGUAACAAAAAUUAUAUAGAUACUAUUUAUUUUAUUUUUCUUAUACUAAUCAUCUAUUAUAAUAUGUUAAAAUUGAGGCUCACACUAUUUUAUUAACAACUCAUUCACUUACUCGCCACGUCACUAAAAAUCUGAUGUGACACUCUUCCAAACACAACAAUCCAAAAUUUUCCCAAACUUCUUUUAUUUAUUUAAAAAAAUGUAUUACAUUUCAUUUAUAAAUUAUUUUAAUAAAAACACUUACACUUUCGUAUUCCAUGAAUUAUUCCAUUUUAUUCCUCUAGAUAAAAAUCAUGUAUACUCAUUGAUUUAUUUAUGUUUCUCCAUUUCAUAUAUAAUGUUAUAUAUUUAUAGAAAUGGUACAUUCACAACAUACUCUUCCAAACACAUUCCAAUAUUUUUCAAAACUUCUUUAUUUAUUUAAGAAAAAUGUGUAACAUUUCAUUUAUAAAUUCUUUUAAUAAAAACACUUAUAUUUCCGUAUUCCAUGACUUAUCCAAUUCUAUUCUCUUAGUUAAAAAUCAUGUAUACUCAUUGAUUUAUUUAUGUUGUUUCUCCAUUUCAUACAUCAAAACUCAAACUAUUAAAUUUUUAUUAUAUUUUCUAAUGCGCACUCUAAUUUCUUUUAAAAACUUAAAUUAAUUAAUUUUCAAAUAAUUCGAUAAACAUUAUGAGAUUUUAUUAAAUUCUUACAAAAAUAAAAUUGUUAAAUUUUCAAAUAAUUCAAUAAAAAAUUAUGAGAACUAAUUUAGUUCCUAUAAAAAUAAAAAUAAUUUUUUCGUCUCUUAAUAAUAAUGAUAAUUUAUUAUUAUUCAAAUCACUCAUGAAAAAUAAAUAAUCGAUUUUGUCAUAAUCAUUAAAAGAUACUAUUUAUUUUAUUUUUCUUAUACUAAUCAUCUGUUAGAAAAUAUUAAAACUUAGGCUCACACUAUUUUAUUAACAACUCAAUCACUUACUCAGCAUGUCACUAAAAAUCUGAUGUGAGACUCUUCCAAACACAACAUUCCAAAAUUUUCCAAAACCUCUUUUAUUUAUUUAAUAAAAAUGUGUAACAUUUCAUUUAUAAAUUAUUUUAACAAAAACACAUAUAUUUCCGUAUUACAUAACUAAUCCACUUCUAUCCCUUUAAUUAAAAAUCAUAUAUACUCAUUGACUUAUUUACGUUGCUUUUCCAUUCCAUACAUCAAAACUUAAACUAUUAAAUUUUCAUUAUAUUUUCUAUUUCACACUCUAACUUCUUUUAAAAAAAUUAAUUAAUUAAUUUCAAAUAACUCCAUAAACACUCUAAGAGUUUAUUUAAUUCUUACAAAAAUAAAAUUAGUCAAUUUUCAAAUAAUUCGAUAAAAAAUUAUGAGAACUAAUUUAAUUCCUAUAAAAAUAAAAAUAAUUUUUCGUCUCUUAAUAAAAAUGAUAACAUUAUUAUUAUUCAAAUCACUCAUAAAAAAGAAAUAAUCAAUUUUGUAACAAAAAUUAUAAAGUUACUAUUUAAUUUAUUUUUCUUAUACUAAUCAUCUAUUAUAAAAUAUUAAAACUGAGUCUCAUAGUAUUUUAUUAACAGAAUAUUCCAAAAAGUUUGAAUUCUUUUUUAUUUAAUUAAGAAAAAUGUGUAACAUUUCAUAUUUUUUUUUACUUAAAACACAUCUACUUUCGUAUUCCAUGACUUAUCCCUUUUAUUCCUCGAAUUAAAAAUCAAGUAUACUCAUUGAUUUAUUUAUAUUGCUUCUACAUUCCAUAUAUAAUAUUAUAUACUUAUACAAAUUGUACAUCCACACCAUACAUCAAAACUCAAAGUAUAAAAUUUUCAUCAUAUUUCCUAUUGCGCACUCUAAUUACUUUAAAAAAAUUAAAUUAAUUAAUUUUCAAAUAAUUAAAUAAAUACUAUGAGAGUUUAUUCAAUUCUUACAAAAAUAAAAUUAAUCAAUAUUCAAAUAAUUCGAUAAAAAUUAUGAAAAAUAAUUUAAUUCCUAUAAAAAUAAAAAUACAUUUUCGUAUCUUAAUAUAAAUGAUAAUAUUAUUAUUAUUCAAACCACUCAUAAAAAAUAGAUAAUCUUGUAACAACAAUUAUAAAGAUACUAUUUAUUUUAUUUUUCUUAUACUAAUCAUCUAUUAUAAUAUGUUAAAACCGAGUCUCACACUAUUUUAGUGACAACUCAUUCACUUACUCGCCUCAUCACUAAAAAUCUCAUGUGACACUCUUUGAAACACAACAUUCCAAAAUUUUCUGAAACUUCUUUUAUUUUAUUGAACAAAAAUGUGUAAGAUUUUAUUUAUAUUCUUUUAAUUAAAACACUUCUAUUUUCGUAUUUCAUGACUUAUCCCCUUUUAUUCCUCUAAUUAAAAAUCAUGUAUACUCGUUAAUUUAUUUAUAUUGCUUCUCCAUUCCAUAUAUAAUGUUAUAUACUUGUACAAAUUGUACAUCCACACACAUCAAAACUCCAAAAUUAAAUUUUCAUAAUAUUUUCUAUUGCGCACUCUAAUUUCUUUAAAAAAAUUAAAUUAAUUAAUUUUCAAAUAAUUUGAUAAACACUAUGAGAGUUUAUUCAAUUCUUACAAAAAUAAAAUUAUUCAAUUUUCAAAUAAUUCGAUAAAAAAUUAUGAUAACUAAGUUAAUUCCUAUAAAAAUAAAAAUAAUUUUUUGUCUCUUAAUAAUAAAGAUAAUAUUAUUAUUAUUCAAAUCUAUCAUAAAAAAUAAAUAAUCGAUUUCGUAACAACAAUUAUAAAGAUACUAUUUAUUUUAUUUUUCUUAUACUAAUCAUCUAUUAUAAUAUGUUAAAAUAGAGUCUCGCUAUUUUAUUGACAACUCAUUCACUUACUCGCCAUAUCACUAAAAAUCUGAUGUGACACUCUUCCAAAAACAACAUUCCAAUAUUUUAUAAAACUUUUUUUUUUAUUGAACGAUAAUGUGUAACGUUUUAUUUAUAUUCUUUUAUUUCUCAAAGUAUUAAAUUUUCAUUAUAUUUUCGAUUGUGCACUAUAAUUUCUUUAUAAACAUUAAAUUAAUUAAAUUUCAAAUGGUUCGAUAAACAUUAUGAGAGUUUAUACCGUUCUUAUAAAAAUAAAGUUAGUCAAUUUUCAAAUAAUUCGAUAAAAAAUUAUGAUAACUAAUUUAAUUCCUGUAACAAUAAAAAUAAUUUUUUCGUCUCUUAAUAAAAAUGAUAACAUUAUUAUUAUUAAAAUCACUCAUCAAAAAUAAAUAAUCGAUUUUGUCAUAAUAAUUAUAAAGAUAUUAUUUAUUUUAUUUUUCUUGUACUAAUCAUCUAUUAUAAUAUAUUAAAACUGAGACUCAUACUAUUUUAUUAACAACUCAGUUACCUAAUCACCGCGUCAGUAAAAAUCUGAUGUGACACUCUUCCAAACAUAACAUUCCAAAAUUUUCCAAAACUUCUAUUAUUUAUUUAAGAAAAAUGUGUAACAUUUCAUUUAUAAAUUCUUUUAAUAAAAACAGUUAUAUUACCAUAUUCCAUGACUUAUCCAAUUCUAUUCCCUUAAUUAAAAAUCAUGUAUACUCAUUGAUUUAUUUAUGUUGCAUCUCCAUUCCAUACAUCAAACCUCAAACUAUUAAAUUUUCAUUAUAUCUUCUAUUACACACUCUAAUUUCUUUUAAAAAAAUUAAAUUAAUUAAUUUUCAAAUAAUUUAAUAAACACUAUGAGAGUUUAUUUAAUUCUUACAAAAAUAAAAUUAUUCAAUUAACAAAUAAUUUGAUAAAAAAUUAUGAGAACUAAUUUAAUUUCUAUAAAAAUAAAUAUAAUUUUUCGUCUCUUAAUAAAAAUGAUAACAUUAUUAUUAUUCAAAUAACUCAUACAAAAGAAAUAAUCAAUUUUUUAAAUUUUUUUAUAAAGAUUCUAUUUAUUUAAUUUUUCUUAUACUAAUCAUCUAUUAUAAAAUGUUAAAACUGAACCUCACACUAUUUUAUUUACACAGUAUUCCAAAAUUUUCCAAAACUUUUUUUUUAUUUAAGAAAAAUGUGUAACAUUUCAUUUAUAAUUUUUUUUAAUUAAAACACACCUACUUUCGUAUUUCAUGAGUUAUCCCCUUUUAUUCAUCUAACUAAAAUUCAUGUUUACUCAUUAAUUUAUUUAAGUUGCUUCUCCAUUCAAUAUAUAAUGUUAUAUAUUUAUACAAAUUGUACAUCCACACCAUACAUAAAAACUCAAACUAUUAAUUUUUCAUUAUAUUUUCUAUUGCGCACUCUAUUUUUUUUUUAAAAAUAAAUAAAUUAAUUUUCAAAUAAUUUGAUAAAUAAUAUGAGAGUUGAUUCAAUUCUUACAAAAAUAAAAUUAGGCAAUUUUCAAAUAGUUCAAUAAAAAAUUAUGAGAACUAAUUUAAUUCCUAUAAAAAUAAAAUUAAUUUUUUUUGUCUCUUAAUAAAAAUGACAACAUUAUUAUUAUUCAAAUCUCUCAUAAAAAGAAAGAAUCGAUUUUGAAAAAACAAUUAUAAAGAUACUAUUAAUUUUAUUUUUCUUAUACUAAUAAUCUAUUAUAAUAUAUUAAAACUGAGCUUCACACUAUUUUAUAGACAACUCGUUUACUUACUCAUGACAUCACUAAAAACCUGAUGUGGAACUCUUUCAAACACAACAUUCCAAAAUUUUCUAAAACAUCUUUUUUUUAAUUAAGAAAAAUGUGUAACAUUUCAUUUAUAAAUUCUUUUAAUUAUAACAAUUCUAUUUUUGAAUUCCCUGACUUAUCCCCUUUUAUUCCUCUAUUUAAAAAUCAUGUAUACUCGUAGAUUUAUUUAUAUUACUUCUCCAUUCCUUAUAUAAUGUUAUAUACUUAUACAAAUUGUACAUCCACACGAUACAUCAAAAUUCAAAGUAUAAAAUUUUCAUCAUAUUUUCUAUUGCGCACUCUAAUUUCUUUAAAAAAAUUAAAUUAAUUAUUUUUCGAAUAUAGCGAUAAACACUAUGAGAGUUUAUUCAAUCCUUACAAAAAUAAAAUUAGUAAAUUUUCAAAUAAUUCGAUAAAAAAUAUAAAAACUAAUUUAAUUCUUCAAAAAAUAAAAAUUAUUUUUCGUCUCUUAUUAAUAAUGAUAAUAUUAUUAUUAUUCAAACCAAUCAUAAAAAAUAAAUAAUCGAUUUUGUAACAAGAAAUAUAAAGAUACUAUUUAUUUUAUUUUUCUUAUACUAAUCCUCUAUUAUAAUAUGUUAAAACUGAGUCUCACGCUAUUUUAUUGACAACUCAUUCACUUACUCACCACAUCACUAAAAAUUUGAUGUGGCACUCUUCCAAACACAACAUUCCAAUAUUUUUCAAAACUUCUUUUAUCUAAUUAAGAAAAAUGUGUAACAUUUCAAUUAUAAAUUCUUUUAAUUAAAACACUUCUAUAUUUCGUAUUCCAUGAAUUAUCCCAUUUUAUUCCUCUAAUUAAAAAUCAUGCAUACUCAUUGAUUUAGUUAGGUUGCUUCUCCAUUCCAUUUAUAAUGUUAUAUACUUAUACAAAGUGUACAUCCACACCAUACAUCAAAACUCAAACUAUUAUAUUUUCAUUAUAUUUUCUAUUGUGCACUCUAAUUUCUUUUUUUUUAAAAUUCAAAUAAUUCUAUAAAUACUAUAAAAGUUUAUUAAAUUCUUACAAAAAUAAAAUUAGUCAAUUUUCAGAUAAUUCGAUACAAAUUUUGAGAACUAUUUUAUUACUUUAAAACUGAAAAUAAAUUUUCGACUCUUUAUAAAAAUGAUAUUAUUAUUAUUAUUAUUCAAAUCACUCAUAAAAAAUAAAUAAUCAAUUUUGUAACAUUAAUUAUAAAGAUAAGAUUUAUUUUAUUUUUCUUAUACUAAUCAUGUAUUAUAAUAUAUUAAAAAUGAGGCUCACAAUAUUUUAUUGAUAACUAAAUCACUUACUCAUCGCGUCACUAAAAAUCUGAUGUGACACUCUUCCAAAUACAACAUUCCAAUAUUUUCCAAAACUUCUUUUAUUUAUUUAAUAAAAAUGUGGAACAAUUCAUUUAAAAAUUCUUUUAACUAAAACACUUAUAUUUUUGUAUUCCAUAAGUUAUCCACUUCAAUUCCUUUAAUUAAAAAUCAUGUAUACUGAUUGAUUUAUUUAUGUUGCUUCUCCAUUCCAUAUAUAAUAUUAUAUACUUAAAUAAAAUGUGCAUCCACACACCAUACAUCAAAACUCAAACUAUUAAAUUUUCAUUAUAUUUUCUAUUGUGCACUCUAAUUUCUUUAAAAAAUUAAUAAAUUAAUUUCAAAUAAUUCUAUAAACACUUUGAGAGUUUAUUCAAUUCUUAAAAAAAUAAAAUUAGUCAAUUUUCAAAUAAUUCAAUAAAAAAUUAUGAGAACUAAUUUAAUUCCUAUAAAUAUAAAAAUAAUUUUUCGUCUCUUAAUAAAAAUGAUAACAUUAUUAAUAUUCAAAUCACUCAUAAAAAAUAAAUAACCGAUUUUGUCAUGAUAAUUAUAAAGAUACUAUUUAUUUUAUUUUUCUUAUACUACCCAUCUAUUAUAAACAACUCAAUUAAAAUGACGCUCACACUAUUUUGUUAACAACUCAAUUACUUACUCACCGCGUUACUAAAAACUGACGUGACACUCUUCCAAACACAACAUUCUAAAAUUUUCCAAAACUUCUUUUAUUUAUUUAAGAAAAAUAUGUAACAUUUCAUUUAUAAAUUCUUUUAAUAAAAACACUUAUAUUUCCUUAUUCCAUGACUUAUCCACCUCUAUUCCCUUAAUUAAAAAUCAUUUAUACUCAUUGAUUUAUUUAUGUUGCUUCUCCAUUCCUUACAUAAACACUCAAAGUAUUAAAUUUUCAUUAUAUUUUCUAUUGCGCAGUCUAAUUUCUUUUAAAAAAAUAAAAUUAAUUAAUUUUCAAAUAAUUUGAUAAACACUAUGAGAGUUUAGUAAAUUCUUACAAAAAUAAAAUUAUUCAAUUUUUAAAUAAUUAUAUAAAAAUUAUGAGAACUAAUUUAAUUCCUAUAAAAAUAAAAAUACUUUUUCGUCUCUUAAUAAAAAUGAUAAUAUUAUUAUUAUUCAAAUCACUCAUAAAAAGAAAUAAUCAAUUUUGUAAAAACAAUUAUAAAGAUACUAUUAAUUUUAGUUUUCUUAUACUAAUAAUCUAUUAUAAUAUAUUAAACCCGAGCUUCACACUAUUUUAUUGACAACUCAUUUACUUACUUAUCACAUCACACUAAAAAUAUGAUGUGGCACUCUUUCAAACACAACAUUCCAAAAUUUUCUAAGACAUGUUUUUUUUUUAUUUAAGAAAAAUAUGUAACAUUUCAUUUAUAAAUUCUUUUAAUUAAAACCAUUCUCUUUUCGUAUUCCCUGACUUAUCCUCUUUUAUUCUUCUAAUUAAAAAUCAUGUAUACUAGUUGAUUUAUUUAUAUUGCUACUCCAUUCCAUAUAUAGUGUUAUAUAAUUAUACAAAUUGUACAUCCAAACCAUACAUCAAAACUCAAACUAUUAAAUUUACAAUAUAUUUUUCUAUUGCGCACUCUAAUUUUUUUUUAAAAAUUAAAUUAGUUUUCAUAUAAUUCGAUAAACACUCUGAGAGUUUAUUCAAUUCUUAUAAAAAAAAUUAGUCAAUUUUAAAAUAACUCAAUAAAAAAUAAUGAGAAUUAAUUUAAUUCCUAUAAAAGUAAAAAUAAUUUUACGUCUCUUAAUAAAAAUGAAAAAAUUAUUAUUAUUCAAAUCAAUCACUUACUCUAUCACGUCACUAGAAAUCUGAUGUGACACUCUUCCAAACACAACAUUCGAAAAUUUUCCAAAACUUAUUUUAUUUAUUUAAUAAAAAUGUGUAAUAUUUCAUUUAUAAAUACUGAUUGAUUUAUCCCAUUUUAUUCCUCUUAUUAAAAAUCAUGUAUACUGAUUGAUUUAUUUAUGUCGCUUCUCCAUUCCAUAUAUAAUAUUAUAUACUUAUACAAAUUGUGCAUCCAUACCAUACAUCAAUAUCAAACUAUUAAAUUUUCAUUAUAUUUUCGAUUGCGCACCCUAAUUUCUUUAAAAAAAUAAAUUAAUUAUUUUCAAAUAAUUCAAUAAACACUAUGAGAGUUGAUUCAAUUCUUUCAAAAAUAAAAUUAGUCAAUUUUCAAAUAAUUCAAUAAAAAUUAUGAGAACUAAUUUAAUUCCUAUAAAAAUAAAAAUAAUUUUUCAUCUUUUAAUAAAAAUGAUAACAUUAUUAUUAUUCAAAUCACUCAUAAAAAAUAAAUAAUUGAUUUUGUAACAACAAUUAUAAAGAUACUAUUUAUUUUAUUUUUCUUAUACUAAUCAUCUAUUAUAAUAUGUUAAAACUAAGUCUUACACUAUUUUAUUAAUAAGUCAAUCACUUACUCACCACGUCACUAAAAAUCUGAUGUGACACUCUUCCAAACACAACAUUCCAAAAUUUCCCAAAACUUUUUUUAUUUAUUUAAGAAAAAUGUGUAACAUUUCAUUUAUAAUUAUUUUAAUAAAAAUACUUAUAUUUUUGUAUUCCAUGACUUAUCCACUUGUAUUCCUUUAAUUAAAAGUUUGUGAUAGAUGUUGGUACAAAAGUUUGUGAUACUAUGUAGAUUUGCAAUCCUUCUUUUAAGUUUUUUUUUUUGCAGAAAACUUUAUUUACAAAAUAAGAGUGAGAUCCUUCUUUUAAGUUUUUUGUGCCUCUUGAUCAAACAAUGUAAAAGUCUCUUUAGCAAAUUUAUAGAACACUUUCAACAUUAUUUUAAAUUAUUAAUUAUCAUAAAGUUAAUUAUUAAAUGUGUAAAAUAUGAUUGCCAUAAUAUAAAUGAAUAUUAUUUCAAAAUUAUAAUGCAAUUAUAAUCUAAUUAAUUCUUAAUUAUGAUAAAAUUAAAUUAGUGAAUUAUUUAAUUUGUAAGUAAACAAAAAUAUCAAUCUGUUUUAAAGGCUAUGAAUUGUGAGUUAUAAUGAACCUUAAACCAUUAUAAAUUUUAAUUAUUAUAUUCACCAAAAUAUGUAACUCAAGUCCAUUCAUUCAUUAGUUUUCAUUCAUGAUUUAUAAAAUAGUCAAUAAUAUUUAUUGUUAUAAUUUCAUGAGUUUUAUUUUUAUAAUAAUAAUAAUAAUACACGUCUUUAUUAAAGUAUUUAUAAAAAGAAAAUAUUUUAUUUAUGUAACAUAUUUUUAUUUGCUAUUAAUAUUUGUGAUAAAAUAGUAUAUGUUUUAAUUUAUUUUUAUGUUUAGAAUUAAAACAUCAUAUUUAUUAUACAUAUUCAUUUUUAUUUUUUCAAUAAUAAGGUUAAUAAUACAAAAUUUUAUUAUUUAUUGUAUUCAUUAUUUAAAUUUUUAUGAAAUAUUUUAAUGAUGGAAUUAAAUUUUAUAACAUUAUUUUUUUCAAUAAUUUUUUUACAAUCAUUUAUUACUUUUUCAUGCCCAAAAAUAAUAUUUUUGUAUAUUUUUUUUAUAAAUAAUAUAAUUUAUUGUAAAUAUUUUAUCAACAUUUGUUUUUUUAAUCAUGGCGUUAAUUUUUAUGACAUAAAUGUUUUCAAUAAAUUUUUACAAUGAUUUAUUAGGUUUUCUCUCUAAAAUAGUUGAGUUUCUUCUAUUAUUAGUGAAAAAUAGAUUUUUUUAUGUGCUAUUAAUAUUUGGGAUAGAAUAUUAAAUGAAUCAAUUUUUAAUGUUCAUGUGAAAUAAAAUACCAUAUUUUUUAUUCAUGUGUACUUUUCAAUUUUGAGUAAUAAUAAAAAAUUUAAAUAUUUAUGAUUUUCAUUAUUGAAUUUAUUUUUGAACAAUUUUAAAUAUUAUUGUGGUUCUCCAAAAUAAAGAAAAAAAAUUAAAUAUAAUUUAUUGUAAAUAUUUUAUCAAGAUUCGGUGGUUAUAAUACAAUUGGAAUCCAAUGAACGGUUAAUUUAUCAUAAAAUUAAUUAUUAAAUGCGUAAAAUAUGAUUGUCAUAAUAAUAAAUUAAUAUUAUUUCUAAAUUAUAAUGCAAUUAUAAUCCAAUUAAUUCUUAAUUAUGAUAAAAUUGAAUUAGUGAAUUAUUUAAUAUGUAAGUAAACAACUCUAUCAAUCCGUUUUAAACCGUGUGAAGUGCGAGUUAUAAUGAAACUUAAACCAUUAUAAAAUUUUAUUAUUAUAUUCACCAAAAUAUGUAACUCAAGUCCAUCCAUUCAUUAGUUUUCUUUCAUGAUUUAAAAAAAACUCAUCCAUCCUUCGUCUAUAACCUGCAGUUGAUUUCCCGAUACUCAUAUCAGACUUGAAGUAGCUCUUGAAAGAUUAUGGAUCCAUUGGAGCAAAGUCACAUUGCAUUAAGAGGAGAUGUUGACUCGAUGAAAAACCAGCUAGAGACCAACUUGUGGAAGCUAUGAUGUUUUAGCAAAGAAGGAAGACAACAUUCAGCGACUGCAAUUGUUGAGAAUGUUAUGCUAGCUACAGUAAAUGUCUUACCCAACCUCAGCUUGUGCAAACCCCAGUUGAGUAACUCUAUUCGUACUCUAUUGUUCAGACAGGAAGACAUCCUCAACAUUUGGCAAUCGUUGACUGAUUUGUUCUACUUUUUGCAUUUGUAGUUUCUUUUUUGUUAAAAGUGCUGUGUUUAACCAUGUUGUUUUUAAUGGUAAUAUUGAUGAAGUAAUGAUGCAGUUUUUGAAUAAUUAUCUCGCAUUCGCUCAUUUUUUUUCUUCUUAUUCAAGAAUACAAAAAAAAAAUACAUCAGUGUUCUCCCAUUCACUUUUCUUAUCAUAACUUUUGUUUAGCAAAGAUUUGAGGAGGAUGACGAAAACAAAAUACCCAUAAUUGCUGACUGUACGCUUUGGGGAUAAAAAUCCUACUGAUGAUGUACAGGCAUUAUUUCAAAUCCCCAAACACUGGAGAGAUAAGGAGUUAAUCCCUAGUCAACCACUUCAAGCCUAGAAGUAGAGUUUUCUUUGGAUCUAAAAACCUUACAUUAAACCUGGGGCAGGGUAGUGUUCAGUUAAUCUAAGACUUACAUUCGGAUUACAAGACGAAAUAUUCCCGUCUGUGGAUCAACUACAUGACAUUCUUCGCACACAUCCUAAAGUGUCGAAGGAACCUUGAAGAAUCCAAAAGUUUAUGAUGGUUGUUCUUCAAAUGACCAACGACUUGGCAGUACAUUCUGAAAAAGGAAAUCAAAUCAAAUAAAGCCCGCUCAGUCAACAACCGAGAGGCCGACUUACGCAAAAACUAGGGCAUCCCGACGUGACUAAGCUUAAAAAGUGUGGUCCAUGCAAAAGUUAGAAUCAAAACAAAAUCAAAGGAGGUCACGAAAAAAUCCUCAACAAAACAAACAAGAUUUAGUGACCACCAUAUCAACAAAUCUAAGGGGUCACAAAUAUCCAUGAAGAGCAAAUAAGGUGAUUGCCAUUUCAAGAGACCUUGAAUCAUCAUCUUUAUCCUUACACCUUCAAAAAGACGAAUGUGGAUGUUGAACUGAACUCAGCAUAUGAUUGGAGAUCAUCAUGAAAGAAAUGGGUGGGUUAAAACAAAAAUUGAGCCCUUACAUACCUUUGUUUCAAUACCAUGAACCAAGCCACUGUUACAAACCUCAAAAGACCUAAUUGAGGUAGGUUAUUCCGAAAGCAUAUUACAGCAAAGUUGCGUAAAGUGACUCCUAAAGAUUCGCUAAUAUUCAACAUCAAUGUCAUUAUUCUCGUUGUGUCUUUCACACUUUAAAUUGCUAAAUCAGCAUUACAUUGGACUCAUGGUCCACUCGUUACACAUUAUCACAUCAAUUCCGAAUAAAUGAUUCUUUUUCAAAACUUGCAUGAGUAUCGCAUUAAAAUACCAUUCGUGAACAACAAUUUUUUAACUGGCAAGACAGUACAUUGACAUCAGGAAAUUCCAACAAUAAGGAAACAAUUAGAGGAACUUGGACUUCGUUUGGUGCCUAACCCUGAAUCAAGACUACUUUCAUAACCACGAAUCAGGUGUCGAUGCCACCCAAAACAUCAAGUUGAUCAUAGAGAAAUUACUCCAAGAAUUGGUCAGUCUUAAACAGUCUCAACACGUAAAAAUGUGCAAAUCAUUUUGCAAGAACAGUUGAUCCAAGCAAUUAUCUCUCAGGACUCUAUUAACUAGGGCGCAGAUCACCUAGAGGUUUUCGUUCGCCAGGGCAGACCCUUUCAAUGUUCAGUUAAGGGUGAGUUAAGUCGCUCAACGCUCAGUACCGGGCAAAGCUACUCAAGAGCACAGAAAAGUCAACGCACUCUAAGAGUCGGUUAAACCAGGAUAAAUCCUUAUGCCCGGAUCAAAAUUUUGGGGUAAUCCACUCCAAGUUAUGGUACAAUUGCUUUCAAAAUCCUUUUUGUUGGAAACAUUUGCAUAGACCCAUCACAUUGGGCAAGAUGAGCCCAUACAUGAGCAAGUGCAUCACUCCCUGACUUCAAGCUGUUCAGGGAAAGCUUUUUCACACGUAUCAACUGCAGAGUUCAAUAUGUAGUGUCGGGGAUUCACGCUAUCACCCCAUAAAAUAACCUCUUUGACAGACAAAAGCCUUUCUACAAAAAAAACCUUCUCUUCCAAUACCCGCACAUGGCAUUGUUGGAAACCUUCAAUUCAUUACAUUAAACUCAUAUCAUGCAUUAGGUCAUGUCGCUUUGCUCUAGCUAUAAAGCCAUGCAUAUUCAUAUCAUUUAUCAGGCAUAAACCUACAUGAACGUGCAUAAAAAGCCAUUGACCCAAAAAUCUGACGCCAAAGUCCAAUUUCUCAUUUGGAAGGAUAAGUUGAACACACGCUCUUUCGAUAACCCCGUUCUCGCAUUUGACGCCCAAACUCUGGCCACCCCGACAGGGAAAAAGUCCCCAACGGCUGAUGGACCACUCUGAUCGAGGUAUGCAAAGACGAACCGACCCUCUAUCUUUUUCAUGAGAAAAUAUCUACCAGAACUAUGUAACACUAAAUUCAGGAAAGGGGAUUUUGGACCCUUCUUACACAUCCAAAGAAACACCUCAGACAUAUAAGUCGAAGUAUUAUCGUUUUUAUUAAAGUUCUAUAAUCAUAACACUGACGAAUGCAUCCAGCGAGAGGAUGCCAUGAAUGGUUGGCUCAAAAGGGAUCGUAUGACUGAGGUACAGAAAAUUGGGCAAAAGAGAUAUGGGAAGAAUCACCUAAGGGUAAAUUCUCCCUUCGAAGACUACAGACGUGAGGAAUAGUGAAAAGGAGCAAGGAGGCCAGUAAGCAAAAACAUUUUUUUACAUGUUCGCUGUUGCAGAAGGGGCACCCCGCGCGAAAAACCUAUCCCCUCCAAGAGAACCAUGAAGAGGAAGACACUUGUGUUUGUCAUACACAAGAAGGAUUAGGUACCUCGGAAAAUACCUUUACCAACCUAUGGUUGGAUGCGAGACGGCAUAGAGGGUAAGGAUACGGUCCCUAACAAAAUUCCCCCCGGUUGAUCACAACUAUAGUCAUGCAGUUUGAUGUAGGGGAUGUCUAUAGUUGUAUCAUGGAACGGCCUUACAUAGCCAUUUGGGAUGUCGUAGCCUCACUUCUGCCAUAAUCAAAACUGAAAGUUUCCACUGUUCAAGGAGAAUCGGUUACCAUUUAACAUCAAUCUCGACGGAGCAAAAAAUAUAUAUUCAAACUUCUCCAUAAAGGACCCAAUGAGAAAGUGAUGUCCGAUGGAGAUUAUGUAGCUUCCCUCACACAGCCACUCAAUAUCAUGGUUGUCUGCCCCCUAAGAAAUGGUUUAGCGUCAACAAAGGCGGAAUAGGAAAAUUAAGUGGCGGCUAAUCUACUGAUUAUGUUUCCUUUUCCAUUUUAUAUUAAAUAUGUAAUUAUAUAUAUCCUUAUCUGUAUGUAUAAGGCGACAACGCUGCAAUUUAUGAAUGGCCAAUAUAAUUCUUUCUUAAAUAUUUGUUUCUUUGGUGCAUUGUGCAAACAUGAUUGAGCGCCCCUAAUACAAAGAAAAUACAAUGAGUAUGAGGUACGUUCGACGGGAUCAAGGUCCGGUACAAAGCAAAAUAAGAGGAUUAAUCGAAGAAUGCUUUACAUGUGUCUAAACUAUAACAAUCAAAUCCCCACAAUAUAAGUGCAAAUUCCCGGUAGAUGUAUUUUAUAUUAUGUCAAAACUAGUAUACUUUUAGCGUUUAUGUAUAUGUUAGACGUAUACUUUGAAGUUCUUAAUGCUUGCAUCUUAACAUUUAGGAAGCAUAAAAAACAUUUUGGAUUGUGCAUCUUAAGCCAUUUAAGAAGCAUAAAAACAUUUUGGAAAUGUAUUUCUAAAGGUUAAAAAUAAUUCUACUUAGCCAAAAUGUUGUUAUGCAAGACACCAUGCUUAUGUGUCGACACAUACAUUGUAUGAGUCGACACUAUGUUGUUAAGUUUUUUAAGUCUGUAGCUUCUCUUUUAUGCAGUGUGGACACAUGCACAUACAAGUCGACAAUAGAAGAAAAUUUUCUUUCUAUGGGGGAAGGCCGGAACAUAUGACCUAUACAGGUCAAACACAUGCUUUGAAAGUGUCAAUAUAUGACUUUACAUUGCGCUCAACAAACGAUGCAUUUUUCCAAAAAAAUCAUGAUUUUUCAAAUCUUGUGCAUUCCUUUUUGCCGUAUAACCUUUACACACACACACACACACACACCACACACCACACACACACAACACACACACCACAACAUAUAUAUAUUAUAUAUAUAUAUAUAUAUAUAUAUUAUAUAUAUAUAUAUAUAUAAUAUAUAUAUAUAGUAUAUAUAUAUAUAUAUAUAUUAAUAUAUAUAUAUACCUUAUACAUGCAUCAUUUUAAAGAUACGAAACCAGGGAAUAUAUAAAGGAGUUAUCUUCAUCUACAGUCUAUAUUAUAUGCAUACACACAAACAAAUUAACAGAAUCAUUUUUUAUUGGGUGCCAUUCAAGAAUCAGAGUUUGAUAACGUCCAAUUUAGGUUGUGAAUUGUAAAUUGGGUUUGAGAAUCUUUGGGGCGUUCAAAUAAGACAAAUCAAUGGAGUUUCCCUUCAAGAUCAUUUUGGUGAUUUGAAGGUUUGGACAAUAUAUGAUGCAAGUGUUGGAAUUUAGCUGAGUGAAAAUCUUUGAAGAACAGUGGGUUCAGUCGAAGGAGUAACGAUACCGAGGAUUCAUCUUAUCCUGGGUGCUUGACAACAAUUUUACAAUUAGGCAUUGAUCAAAUGAAGGCUUUUGAAGAACGGGGUUCUUUGCCCAAAGCGAGUAACGUGAAACAGUUGAUCAAAUUGUAGUUGUUGUGGUGACUUGAUCAAACUCCACUCAAGGAUUAAAACAAGGUUAGAAUCAACAUCAAACAUAGCAAUUUGUAGGCGUUGGAUUUGCCUACUUUUCUCUUGUAAACAAUUCUUCUUUAAAGUAAGCAUUGAUUAUCUCCAAUUCCAUUUGGAAUUGGGGCGCAGACGAGCCAUUAGCGACGGCCGAUUAAUUUGCCUCAAUUAAAUUUUUGUGUAUUUUGUCAUUGGAUAGCAGUCCUUCACCUUUAGCUUAUAUCAUUUAAAUGAUUGUUUUUUUUUAAAUUGAUUGAUUUGUCUAUCAUUAUUCAUCAAUUGGUUUUCAUUAUACGCAUAUUUGAGCCUUCUCGAUAGUGCCGUUCGCAUUAAAGCAUUCGAUUCGGGUCAUUCUGACUAACGUUAAAAUUUUUAAAAAAUUUUUGUAAAGUUUUUUAACUUGGGAUUUAUUCACCCACUUCCCUCUAGAUAAGUUGUAUCUUCAGCAUACAACAACAAAGCAUACACAAAUAAAAUUCAUAUGUGCUACCAAAGACAUUUUACACAUCCGACUAUAUAAUAAAUUCCCCAUCGUCAUAGUGUUGUCGGAGGACUCUUUUCACGUGUGCACUAGAUCAAUAAUACUUCCCACACCAAGGGGUGUUAUCAGAGAUUUUUGUUACGUCAAAACUAUAAUAAGUCGAAUCUCUUAUCAAACCAUGCGCGUGCUGUCGGGAGACGCCUUUAUUAUGGCCCAACUACAAAAUUAAAUACCCACAAGCCAAUAAUCGUUCAAUCCCUUUUGGCAUCUAGCCAAUCUAGAGCCGUUAGUAGCGUUAGUCACCAUGUCUACCCCGUACUGGCGGUUUUCACAUGGCGAGGAAGGGAACCGACCCGUUGCACGAGAACAAUCCCUAAUGACGUUUAAUAAAAUUCAAUGGGAGACCCCUCGUAAGUUCGUACAAGAUCCAGAGGCUUUUGGCCACUAAGGAAUCCUACAAAAUACACCUUAAAUAAGUAAAAAAAGUGAAUUUCAUUCCAAAAAUGUGAAAUAUAUACACAUAUAUUCUUCAUUGCAUAAGUGUUAUAUAUACAACAACAUCACAAAAAAAAUGGGUUGGCAUGGCUACUCCAGUAGAAAAGAACAAUGUCUCCGUCUUUAAGCAUUUGAUCUGGCCGAAUUGCUCCCUUUAGACGCAGCCAGAGUGUCAGUGAAAAUGUUCCACUUACUGCAAGCAUUCCUCCAAUAGCUACUGCUUGUUAAAUUUGAAUGCUCAAUGUUGCCACUCAGAUAAUCGCCAAUGCUAAGGUUGGAAAGCAUCUCUAAGGCGCAAAACUGCCCAAAUCCCUUAUGAGCUACUGAAAUGAUGUAUGAGUAUAAGAUAAAUUUCCCUGGGGACAACAAGCUACGAGCCAGUUUUUUUCUUGCCACAGCCUCCUCGCCAGAUGAGUCACGCUGACCGGCAGAGAGUCAGGAGGUUAAAUGGCGGAUCAAAGCAUCCUUUAUCUCGAUUUAAGAAAAAAGUAUAAGUUAUAUGUAUUUCUUGCAGAUAACUUUAUCCUGCUGAAGCAUAAGAUUUUGAACAUUUUCUUCCAAAUAAUUUGCCUAUUCUUAGUACGUUGUUGGGUCAGACCAAGAGCUUCCAGCGGGCCAACUCCAACUGAGGGUUAAAAUGACAAAAAGCAUGCCCUGAAUAUACCGAGUCAGAGUUACCAGUUCUUCCUAUUGGGCGGGACCAGACAUAUUGGCUAAAAUAUGCAGCAAUCCUCUCUGAAUGGGUCUAACAAACCUUAGGAGGGACGUGAGCUCGAAAUUGUAAUCAAUAGACGCUGAAGAAAGACCUUGUACACUCGACAUAAGGUAAUGACUUCUCAUUCAAUACAUGGGGAAACAACUCAAACACAUUUCCUCCACUGAUGUCCCAAAUACCGCAAACUGUAGCAUGGUCCUUCGGGCGAAUAGGUUGGACCCAUAAAAGAACCACAAUCUUCAAAUAGGUUGCAACUCAUGAAGAGACAUAAAGCCACAGAUGUUCGACUUCCAGAGAAAAUUAACAUUUAAUCUCACGUCUGCAGUCGCAGGGGCCACGACGACAUCGAAAGAGAUGAAAGAAAAAAAGCCCACAUAUGGGAAUUUCCUUACCAGGAUUUGGCCAUCAACAUUUGAUUGCAAAUUCACCAUACUCGCGUCUUGUGGGAUGAAGUUGUGCGACAAGAUGUCAUCACCAAAUUCUUCAAGACUCUAUCUCAAGGAGGUAGUGAAUGGUAUGCGUGCAUUCCAAAAACUGGAAGAAAGUGCACUCCAUAUAAGGGGAUGCCACCCUUAUAUUGACGUUCGAGGCUUUUGAGUGUUAACCUUACAUGUCAGACCACUUCUCCACCACACGCCUCGGAUACACCAUCAUUUUUAUACCUCAUAUAAUGUCUAAUUGCCAGAACGGAACAUCAACAUGAAGAAAGUGACUGAUGAUAUAAUGCCUUUAUAAAAUCUUUUGAUUCUCUUUCAAAUUUUACAUUAACAAACUAUUGACAGUCAAAAAUUCUCGAAGUAUGACAUAACUGUAUUUUUUCUUUGAUGAAUUAGGUUGCACCUCACUCUCCGUUAAGCAUUGCUCUUAAUUAGAAAAUGUUGUAAAUGCGAUUCUUUCCUCUAAUUGAAACACAAACACCCUACCUUUUUUUCUUGUUUCUUUUUUUUCUUUUGAUUAUGCCUUUCAUUUCUUUCACUCAAACAACGUCGGCCAUUUUUUUUCUCUUCUAUUUGUUAUUUUUUAUUUGCAUAAAAAAUUACCAACAAUAAAAAUAACAAAAUGUUAAGGGUUUCCUAGGACCUUAUAUUUUUAAUUACCAAUAGCCCCAAACAUAAUGAUUACCAAUUACAGUAGCCGUAGGUAAAAUAUGGGAAGGGUUCUUAGGGUACCCGUUACUUUUUCUCUUCUGAUAUUUUUCGUAUUUUUUAUUUUUAUUUUUAUUUUUGUGCAUAAAAAUUUAUCUAUUAACAGAUUGUAAACUCAAGUUGAUUUUUACGGGGUUUUUCCUUUAUUAAUGUAUUUUAAAAGAAUAAUGAAAGUUCCAAAUCGACAAAGGAAAUGUAAUAGCAUAAACAUAAACCAAAGGGUCAAAUGGAUAAGAGCAAAUAUGAUAUAAAACACAUAAUAAUUGUACAAAUGUUAUAUACAUAAUUAAGCAUUAACUAAAAUUUAUCUAAUAGUAAAUAAGGCAGAAAAUUAAAUUGACUUUGAACGGUAAAAAGUUAAUACAAAGUAUAUAAUGUAGUAAAAGAUGUUAUGUUGAAGAUGAAAAGAUAUUUUGUGUUGCAUUUUUUUUGGGAACACUCAUACUAUUCCACUCACAUUAUAGUAUGGAUUGAUCUUUUAUAAUAUACAUCAUUUAUUGAGAAGUUUUGCAUCUAACUUGUGAAUUCAAAUCAUACGAAUGUUUAUGCCACUAGCUCUCACAAAAUGGUAAUAAAGAGCGCAACAUUUCACCUACCAAUUACCUACGAAUGGAAUUUGAGACUACAUAGUCGUCACUUGAUAAACAUGUCAUUGCCUUUGGGUAAUGAUGUAAUACGCUAUUGUUUGGAUAGCAAAUCUAAUUGGAUCUUUAUGUUUAGAGCUCACAACUGUCUGCGAGGCGCUGUCAAAAAUAAAUGUGUUUGUUGUUAAUACCAUGAUUAGAGAAAUGAAUAGUGCUAACCCUCAUCCUCAAGCUAUGUUCAUACAAGAAUAUGUGAUUAUAAAGGAAAGGGAUGGUCAAACACAAAGGCUAGAGGAUCUCUCCUUCUNAUCAAGACUACCUCAUAACCCACGAAUCAGGUGCAUGCCACCCAAAACAUCAAGUUGAUCAUAGGAAAAUUACUCCAAGAAUUGGUCAGUCUUAAACAGUCUCCAACAUCUGUUAAUAAAUGUGCAAAUCAUUUCAAGAAUCAGUUGAUCCAAAGCAAAUUAUCUCAGGACUCUAUUAACUAGGGGCAGAUCACCUAGAGGUUUUGUUGGCCAGGGGCAGACCCUUUCAAUGUUCAGUUAGGGUGAGUUAAGUCGCUUCAACGCUCAUACCGGGGCAAGCUACCUCAAGAGCACAGAAAAGUCAACCACUCUAAGAGUCGGUUAACCAAGGAUAAAUCCUUUCAUGGAUCAAAAUUUUGGGGUAAUCCAUCUCCAAGUUAUGGUACAAUUGCUUUCAAAAUCCUUUUGUGGUAAACAUUUUGCAUAGACCCAUCACAUUGGGGCAAGAUGAGCCAUACAUGAGCAAGUCAUCUCCCUGACUUCAAGCUGUUCAAGGGAAAGCUUUUUCACACGUCAUCAACUGCAGAGUUCAAUAUGAGUGUCGGGGAAUCACGCUAUCACCCCAUAAAAUAACCUUUUGACAGACAAAAGCCUUUCUACAAAAAAACCUUCUCUUCCAAUACCCGCACAUGGGCAUUUUGGAAACCUUCCAAUCAUUACAUAAAUCAUCAUCAUGCAUUAGUCAUGUCGCUUUGCUCUAGCAUAAAGCCAUGCAUAUCAUAUCAUUUAUCAGGCAUAACCCAUAACAUGAACCUUGAAACCUUCCAAUCAUUACAUAAAUCAUCAUCAUGCAUUAGUCAUGUCGCUUUGCUCUAGCAUAAAGCCAUGCAUAUCAUAUCAUUUAUCAGGCAUAACCCAUAACAUGAACCUGACAUCAAAAAGCAUUGAAACCCAAAAUCUGACGCCAAAGUCCAAUUCUCAUUUGGAAGAUAAGUUGAACACACGCUUUGAUAACCCCGUCUCGAUUGACGCCAACUCUGGCCACCCGACAGGGAAAAAGUCCCCAACGGCGGAUGGACCACUCUGAUCGAGGUAUGCAAAGACGAUACGACCCUCUAUCUUUUUCAUGAGAAAAUAUCUACCAGAACUAUGUCAACACUAAAUUCAGGAAAGGGGAUUUUGACCUUCUUACACCAUCAAAGAAACACCUCAGACAUAUAAGUCGAAGUAUUAUCGUUUUUAUAAAGUUCAUAAUCAUAACACUGACGAAUGCAUCCAGCUGAAGGAUGCCAUUGAAUGGUUGGUCAAAAGGGAUCGUAUGACUGAGUACAUGAAAAUUGGGCAAAAGAGAUAGGGAAGAAUCACCUAAGGGUAAAUCUCCCUCGAAGACUACAGACGUGAGGAAUAGUGAAAGGAGCAAGGAGGCCAGUAAAGCAAAACAUUUUUACAUUGUCGCUGUUGCAGAAGGGGCACCCCGGGAAAACCUCCCCUCCAAGAGAACCAUGAAGAGGAAGAUCACUGUGAUGUUUGUCAUACACAAGAAGGAUGUAGGUACCUCGGAAAAUACCCUUUACCAACCUAUGUUUGGAUUGCGAGACGCAUAGAGGGUAGGAUAGGUCCCUAACAAAAUUCCCCCCGGUGAUCACAACUAUAGUCAUGCAGUUUGAUGUAGGGGUGUCUAUAAUUGUAUCAUGGGAAGGCCUUACAUAGCCAUUUGGGAUGUCGUAGCCUCACUUCUGCAUAUCAAACUGAAGUUUCACAAUGUUCAAGGAGAAUCGGUUACCAUUAACAUCAAUCUCGACGGAGCAAAAAAUAUAUAUCAAACUCUCCAUAAAGACCAAUGAGAAAGUGUGUCCAUGGAGAUUAAUGUAGCUUCCCUCACCAGCCACCUCAAUAUCAUGGUUGUCUUUUAACAUCAAUCUCGACGGAGCAAAAAAUAUAUAUCAAACUCUCCAUAAAGACCAAUGAGAAAGUGUGUCCAUGGAGAUUAAUGUAGCUUCCCUCACCAGCCACCUCAAUAUCAUGGUUGUCUGCCCCCUAAGAAAUGGUUAGGUCAACAAAGGCGAAUAGGAAAAUAAGUGGCGGCUAAUCUACCUGAUUAUGUUUCCUUUUCCAUUUAUAUUAAAUGAUGUAAUUAUAUAAUCCUUAUCUGUAUGUAUAAGGACAACGUGCAAUUAUGAAUGCAAUAUAAUUCUUUCUAAAUAUUUGUUUCUUUGUGAUUGUGCAACAUGAUUGAGGCCUAAUACAAAGAAAAUAACAAUGAGUAUGAGGUACGUUCGACGGGAUCAAGGUCCGGUACAAAGAAAAUAAGAGGAUUAAUCGAAGAUGCUUUACAUGUUCAACUAUAACAAUCAAAUCCCCACAAUAUAAGUGCAAAUUCCCGGUAGAUGUAUUUUAUAUUAUGUCAAAACUAGGAUACUUUAGCGUUUAUGUAUAUUAGACGGUAUACUUUGAGUCUUAAUGUGCAUCUUAACAUUAGGAAGCAUAAAAACAUUUUGGAUUGUGCAUCUUAGCAUUAAGAAGCAUAAAAACAUUUUGGAAAUGAUUUCUAAAAGGUUAAAAAUAAUUCUACUUAGCAAAAAUGUGUUUUUAUGCAAGACACAUGCUUAUGUGUCGACACAUACAUUGUAUGAGUCGACACAUGUUGUUAAGUUUUUAAGUCUGUAGCUUCUCUUUAUGCAUGUGUGGACACAUGCAACAUACAAGUCGACACAUAGAAGAAAAUUUUCUUCUAUGAGUCGACAUAUGACCUAUACAGGUCAACACAUGCUUUGAAAGUGUCAAUAUAUGACUUACAUUGGUCAACACAUACGAUGCAUUUUUCCAAAAAAUCAUGAUUUUUUCAAAUCUUGUGCAUUCCUUUUUGCCUCUAACUUACACACACACACACACACACACCACACACCCACACACACACACACACACACACCACACAUAUUUUAUUAUAUAUAUAUUAUAUAUAUAUAUAUAUAUAUAUAUAUAUAUUAUAUAUAUAUAUAUAAUAUAUAUAUAUAUAUAUAUAUAUAUAUACCUUAUACAUGCAUCAUUUUAAAGAUACGAAACCAGGAAUAUAUAAAGAGUUAUCUUCAUCUACAGUCUAUAUUAUAUGCAUACACACAAACAAAUUAAACAUAAUCAUUUUUUAUUUGGGUGCCAUCAAGAAUCAGAGUUGAUAACGUCCAAUUUAGGUUGUUGAAUUGUAAAUUGGGUUGAGAAUCUUUGGGGGUUUCAAAUAAGAAAAUCAAGAUGGAGUUUCCCUUCAAGAUCAUUUGGUGAUUUGAAGGUUUUGGACAAUAUUAUGCAAGUUGGAUUUAGCUGAGUGAAAUCUUUGAAGAACAGUGGGUUCAGUCGAAGGAGUAACGAUAACCGGAGGAUCAUCUUAUCCUGGGUGACAACAAUUUACAAUUUGGAUUGAUCAAAUGAAGGCUUUGAAGAACGGGGUUUCUUGCAAAGGAGUAACGUGAAACAGUAGAUCAAAUUGGUAUUGUUGGGUGACUUGAUCAAGCUCCACUCAAGGGAAUAAAACAAGUUAGAAUCAACAUCAAACAUAGCAUUUGUAGGGUUGGAUUGCUACUUUUCUCUUGUAAACAAUUCUCUUUAAAGUAAGAUUGAUUAUCUCAAUUCCAUUUGGAAUUGGGGGCAGACGUAGCCAUAGCGAGGCCGAUAAUUUGCCUCAAUUAAAUUUUUGUGUAUUUUGUCAUUGGAUAGAGUCUUCACCUUUAGCUAUAUCAUUUAAAUGAUUGUUUUUUUUAAAUUGAUUGAUUUGUCUAUCAUUAUCAUCAAUUGGUUUUCAUAUACGCAUAUUUGAGCUUCUCGAUAGUGGUUCGAUUAGAUGAUUCGAUUCGGGUCACUUCUGCUAACCGUUAAAAUUUUUAAAAUAAUUUUUGUAAAGUUUUUUAACUUGGGAUUUAUUCACCACCUUCCCCUCUAGAUAAGUUGUAUUCUUCUAGCAUACAACACAAAGCAUACACAAAUAAAUUCAUAUGUGCUACCAAAGACAUUUUACACAUCCGACUAUAUAAUAAAUUCCCCAUCGUCAUAGUUGUUGUCGGAGACUCUUUUCACGUGUGACUAGAUCAAUAAACUUCCCACACCAGGGGUGUUAUCAGAGAUUUUUUGUACGUCAAACUAUAAUAAUCGAAUCUCUAUCAACAUGGGUGCUGUCGGAGACGCUUUAUAUGCCCAACUACAAAAAUUAAAUACCCACAAGCAAUAAUGGUUCAAUCCCUUUUGCAUCUAGCCAAUCUAGAGACCGUAGUAGGUUAGUCACAUGUCUACCCCGUACUGGGUUUUCACAUGGGGGGAAGGGAACCGACCCUUGACCGAGAACAACCCUAAUGACGUUUAAUAAAAUUCAAUGGGAGACCUCGUAAGUUCGUACAAGAUCCAGAGCUUUGCACUAAGGAUCCUACAAAUACACCUUAAAUAAGUAAAAAAAAGAAUUUCAUUCCAAAAAUGGAAAUAUAUACACAUAUAUUCCUUCAUUGCAUAAGUGUUAUAUAUACAACACACAUACAAAAAAAAUGGUUGGCAUGGCUACUCCAGUAGAAAGACAAUGUCCCCGUCUUUAAGCAUUUGAUCUGGCCGAAUUUGCUCCCUUUAGACAGCCAGAGUUCAGUGAAAAUGUUCCACUUACUGCAAAGCAUUCUCAAACUACUGUGAAAUUGUCUCAAUGUUGGCACUCAGAUAAUCGGCCAAUUGCUAAGUUGGAGAAGCAUUCUCAAGGCGCAAAACUGCCAAUCCCUUAUGAGCUACUGAAAUGAUGUAUGAGUAUAAGAUAAAUUUCCCUGGGCAACAGCUAGAGCAUGGUUUUUUCUUGCCACAGUCCUCGCCAGAUGAGUCACCUGACCGGCCAGAGAGUCAGGGAGGUUAAUGGGGAUCAAAGCAUCCUUUAUCUCGAUAAGAAAAGUAUAAGUUAUAUGUAUUUCUUGCAGAUACUUAUCCUGCUGAAGCAUAAGAUUUUGAACAUUCUCUUCCAAUAAUUGCUUCUUAGUACGUUGUUGGUCAGACCAAAGAGCUUCCCAGCGGCCAACUCCACUGAGGGCUAAAAUGACAAAGGCAUGCUGAAUAUACCGAGUCAGAGUUACCAGUUCUUCCUAUUGGGCGGGACCAGACAUAUUGGCUAAAUAUGAGCAAUCCUCUUCUGAAUGGGGGGUCUAACAACCUUAGGAGGGACGUGAGCUCGAAAUUGUAAUCAAUAGACGUGAAGAAAGACCUUGUACACUCGACAUAAGGUAAUGACUCUCAUUUCAAUACAUGGGGAACAACUCAACACAUUUUCCCUCCACUAUGUCCCAAAUACCGCAAACUGUAGCAUGGUCCUUCGGGCGAAUAAGGUUGACCAUAAAGAACCAAUCUUCAAAAGGUUGCAACUCAUGAAGAGACAUAAAGCCACAGAUGUUCGACUCCAGAGAAAUUAACAUUUUAUCUCACGUCUGAGUCGCAGGGCCACGACGACAUCGAAAGAGAUGAAAGAAAAAAGCCACAUAUGGAUUUCCUUCCAGGUAUUUGCAUCAACAUUGAUUGAAAUUCACAUACUCUCGUCUUGUGGGAUGAAGUUGUGAAAGAGUCAUCACCAAAUUCUUCAAGACUUCUAUCUCAAAGGUAGUGAAUGGUAUGCGGUGAUCCAAAACUGAGAAAGUGCACUCAUAUAAGGGGAUGCCACCCUUAUAUUGACUUGAGCUUUUGAGUGUUAACCUUACAUGUCAGACCACUCUCCACCACACGCUCGGAUACACCAUCAUUUUUUAUCCUCAUAUAAUUCUAAUUGCAGAACGGAACAUCAACAUGAAGAAAGUGACUGAUGAUAUAAUGCCUUUAUAAAAUCUUUGAUUCUCUUUUCAAAUUUUACAUUAACAAACUAUUGACAGUCAAAAUUCUCGAAUAUGACAUAACUGUAUUUUUCUUGAUGAAUUAGGUGCACCUCACUCUCCGUUAAGUCAUGCUCUUAAUAAGAAAAUGUUGUAAAUGGAUUCUUUCCUCUAAUGAACACAAACACCUACUUUUUUUUUCUUUUUUCUUUUUUUUCUUUUGAUUAUUGCCUUUCAUUUCUUUCAUCAACAACGUCGGCCUAUUUUUUUCUCUUCUAUUUUGUUAUUUUUAUUUGCAUAAAAAUUACACAAUAAAAAUAACAAAAGUUAAGGGUUUCUAGGACCUUAUAUUUUAAUUACAAUAGCCCAAACAUAAUGAUUACCAAUUACAGUAGCUCGUAGGUAAAAAUUAAGGGUUUCUAGGACCCUACUUUUUUCUCUUCUAUUUUUGUUAUUUUUAUUUUUAUUUUUAUUUGCAUAAAAAUUUACAUUAACAAGAUAACCAAGUUAUUUUUAGGGGUUUUUCCUUUAUUAAUGUAUUUUAAAAGAAAAUGAAAGUCCAAAUCGACAAAGGAAAAAUAGCAUAAACAUAAACAAAGGUCCAAAUGGAUAAAGAGCAAAUAUGAUAUAAACACAAAUAAUUUGAUACCAAAUGUUAAACAUAAAAGCAUAAACUAAAUGACAUAAAAAAAGGCAGAAAAUUAAAUGACUUUGAAGGUAAAAGUUAAUACAAGUAAAAUGUUAGUAAAAGAUGUUAGUGAAGAUGAAAAGAUAUUUUGGUCAUUUUUUGGGGAACACUCAACUAUCCACUCACAAGUAUGGAAAUAUGAACCUAUACAUCAUUUAUGAGAAGGGAUCUAACUUGGAUCAAAUCAACAAGUAUGCCACUAGCUCUCACAAAUGGAAAAAGAGCAACAUUUUCACACAAUACCACGAGGAAUAUGAGACUUACAAUCUCACUUAUAAACAUGUCAUUGCCUUUGGGGAAAAUGUAACGCUAUGUUAAGCAAUCAUAAUUGGACUUAUGUAGAAGUCACAACUAUCUGAGGCCGGUCAAAAAUAAUGUUUGUGUUAAUACAUGAUAGAGAAAUGAUAUGUAAACCCUCAUCCUCAAGCUAUGUCAUACAAGAAAAGAAAAAGAAAGGGGAUGGUCAAACACAAAGGCUAGGAGGAUGGUCCAUUACUUCAAUCCAUAUUUCAUGACACUUAGGAAAAACUUAUACAUCAAUCUAAAGUACCUUAAAUGAUUCAUGAUCACUUAGAAGGUGGAUUUGAAAUGAUGAAAGUUCACCAAGCACCAAUCCACACAUCAUGAACAAGAUGAACACAAAUCCAUCCAAUUGAUCAAAGGAAAAAGAAAGGGGACAAUAGAGAUCACAUCCAAAUUGAAUCACAAAUUUGAUCAAGUCAUCAUCAAAAUCAACCAUCCAUUUUGGUGGAUUAGGGUUUUCACCCCAUCAAUACCCAAGAUCCAUUGAGUUUGAUGAGACUUGAAGUUAAAAUCAUCAUGAUCCAAGACCAACAGAAGUCCAAAAGGUCAAACAAAUUUAAAAUGCAAUUAAAUAAAAUAAAAAUGCAAUAAAGGUAUUUUUAAAUGAUUUUUAAAAUAGAAUAAAAAUGGAAAAUCCACAAAGUCCUUCAAAACACCAAAUAAAUGGUCAAGGAAAUUAUGGAAGUUUGGAAAUAAAAUGAGAAACAUAUAAUAAAAAUUUCAGAAUUUUAAAAUGCAGAAAAGUAAUUUUAAAUCAAUUAAAAGAAAGGAGAAAAGAAAAAAAUAAUGAAAAAUAGAGAAUCAGUGAAAUAAAAUGUGAAAAAAUAAAAAUCAAAUGAAGAAAAAUAAAAGAUGAUUUUAGAAAUUAUUUUGGGAUUUUUUGGAUAAAAAAAUAAAUUUACUACGAAUUUUUAAAGAAACAACAAUUUAAAAUGAUAAAAGAAAAAGAAUUAAAAUCAGAAAAAAUCAGGAGCGUUGGAUCACAACUCAUUAAUUGACGUGUUAGACCCAACACUCCAAAUGAUGAGAAACACGAUGGAACACACUGCAAUCAUAACACAAGAUCCAAUUUGAAUUUGACCAAUCAAAACAUUUCAAAAUGCCAAUGUGUAUGGUCCUAACUCAGACCACCUGAGAAAUACUUCGGUCAUCUUCUCCGGUGAGUUCUCACCUGAUUUUCAUCGUUUGGUAACUUCAAGACACGCGACCACCACCAUUGUGAUCCUCUUCUCGUCCUGAAUUCUACCUUAUGCUUCAAACUCAUUUAUAUGAACUUGGCAAAGGGAAUUUCAAAGAAGUUUCAGAAACAAGCAAGCCACGAAAAAUAAAAUUAAAUAAUGAACACGAUCAAUCAACACCAAAUACGUUAGGGGAAAGCAUCAGAGAGUGAAGGACUACAUUGUGGUAACUUGUUUGAGUUCAAAUGAUGCUCAUAACUAUCUUGUCCGGAUGGUGAUCAGAAGUUGAUGAAGUUCGAACUGGUUGGAGCAAUUCAAAAGGUCUCAAUGCUUGGGAGUUGUUGCAAAACUUUCGGAGGAUGUCGAUGGAGCUAAUAGAAUCAAGAAAAUGGAUUGAAACAUGCUGAAAAUCAAAACAUGAUAGUUGGAUUUUUUGGAAAAACUUCAAGUUGCAGCAGGGGGUUCUUGACUCUCAAAAUCUUGUUAAGGAAGGCAGUAGCUUCCUCUAUUUAUAGGCAAUGUAAUUGGAUCCAAAUACGUGUGGAAUAAUGUUGAAUUCGUGCAAAACAAAUUUGAUCCAAGUGUGUGAAAAAUGUGACUUGAAACUCCUCAAAACUCAGUCAAAUGAUGCAUUUUAAGUGUCAAUUAACUUCUGGAGGUUUGUUAAAAUAUGUUUAGGAACAAAACACUUGCUAAUUUGACUUGGAAUUGAGUUUAGUCAUGAUCAAAUUUCGGGCAAUGAUGAUUUCUUCAGUUUCAAGUCACCAUGUUCAACUCAAUGGGGCAUCCUACUCAAGAGGCUUUUUGAUCCCAUUCUUUUUGCAAUGUGUUAACAUCAUGGUCAAUAUUUCAAUGUGCUAAGAAAGGUUGCAUUUGGAUGUUUGAGAAUAAAGUUAUGGUUUGUUGAAGUUGGUAUAAAAUACUGGUUCCAUAACUUCGAAAAAUUCGAGUGCUUCAUGAUUGAAAAUGACGUAUAAUGUACCAAUGGAUUCCAUGGUCUUAGAACAAUAUUUUGACAUUGGUCCUUGAAGCAAACUUGUAGAGAGUAUCACCAAUGGUAUUAUGCAAAAAGAAUCAGCCUCAUGUAUUGAAAAUUGAAGAAGUUAUGAUCCUUGAAAGUUGGCAAAAAGUCACUUGAAAAUAGGUCAAAUUUCACUAAGUCAACAAAUGACCUAUAAUGUCUCCAAACUUUUGAUGGUCCUUCAAGCAUAAUUGGCUCUUGUCAUAUAAAGAUAAGUUGUAUAGGAUGUUGAGAAUAGUCAUAUGCAAAAAGGGACAUUCAAAAAUGUUGAGAAAUGAAGGAGUUGUGAUCCUUGGAACUUUGACUUCAAAAGAUUGAUUUUUAUGUCAAACCACUUGGAACAAGCUUGUGCACUUGAACUUUCCUUGCACUUCAAAGCACGGAUGAUGAUAUGAACUCAAGAUAAGGUGUCCUUGAUGGUAUCUUGAUUAAAUUUCUCAAAUCUUGAAGUUACUUGUUGAAAAAGGCGUGGAAAUAAACACGUGAACCUUUAACUUUCUCUAAGAAGUAAGCCACCAAAUUUUGAGAUGCUUUUGGCUUGAGAAGCCCUACCUUGCACAACAAACUUAAGGGAUACAAUAAAUAUUUUUGGUAUUUUGAUUAGUGGUUCGAUAAGCAAUGAACAUAUAAAUACAAAGGUAAACAAAAAGGUGUUUGGUGAUCCAUGCAAGAAGCAAACCUAAAGAUGGAUAAGGGGAAGGAUAAAAAAGUGACAUUGUUUGUGUGCAAGAAUGUAAAUGAGAUGUGAGAUCUUAGGGUUAAAAAUUAGGGUAUGACAGAUUCCCCUAUUUAAGUUUCUUCAAUUUGGAGAUAUGAAAGUUGAAAUCUUCAUCUCGACAAGAUUGGAGAGACAUAAAUAUUAAAGGCCCAAUGUUUGGCCCUAAGAUACUGCAAGAUGUUUAUGAUAUGACAUGAAUGCAAACAAGAUUCUAUGUGGGGAAUAUAGCGCCACAAGAGAUAAAGAACUGUUAGAGACGAUGGAGACUGAAAUUCUGCAGGGAAAAGACAGAUUCGAAAGGAGUACCCAGAUGGGGACAAACAAGAUUCCGUAUGGGGAAAAAGAAAAGGUCAAAAAUAACCGAUGCAUGGUUAGAGAACGAACUAAAGACCCAACAAGGAAGACUUAAAAAAGUAAGACUUCGUCGGGGAAAAGCAAUCAUCAACAGGGAAAAAUCCUAACUCCAGUAGGAGAAGAAUAUUACCUACUAUUAGCCGAGUGAUAACUUAAUAAAGAUAAUAAGCUCAAACAGAAUGAUUACUAACUACCAGCCAAGUGAUAUCUUAACAAAGGUAAUCAAUCAGAGAGUAAAAGGAACUAUUACCUACUAUCAGUCAGGUGAUAGCUUAAUAAAGAUAAUAAACUCAAACAAAAUGAUUACCAACUACCAACCAAUUGAUAGUUUAACAAAGAUAACCAAUCAGAAGUUAAAAUGAAUUAUUACCUACUAUCAGACAAGUAAUGACUUGACAAAGAUAAUAAACUCAAACAAAAUGAUUACCAACUCCUACAAACUACUCUAAUUGUGUGUGUAAUUUAAUUAAGGGUUUCUAGAACCUUAUAUUUUUAUUACAAUAAAAUGAAAAUUAGAAAACAAACAUCCAAAAUGGAUUGUGUCCGCUACUCUUCUCGCUGCAAUGAUACAAGCCAAGUUAUGAACUAUUCCUCAUCAACUGCCGAGGUCUGAUUUUUUCAUUCGAGCUUGGAAGCAUGACUGUAACUUGAUACAUUGACUCUUCAUAUGGUGUUAUGAUAUGCAUGAGGACCUGAUAAGCUUUUUUCAUUCAUUGCUUGAUUGUUUGUCUUGCCAUGCCCUCUCCUAAAAACACAGUUAAGGCAUUCGCCCGCAGAAGAAGAUGCGGGUGCGGCCAUUAACGUUAACAUCGAAUUGUUUAUCUCACUUUCACUCUCCUCUCGACCACCACCAACUCCUCCACCGACCCAUUUCGAACAACUCCCUCAUCAACUCCUACGUUCGCCGAGCUCAACCUUCUCCGCAUGGAAACCUCUUCCGUCUCUCUCCGUCGUUACGUUCCGACAUCCGAUGCUCACACAUUCACCCCUCUCUCUUACUCCAUCUUUCUCCAUCACUCGGUAAACAAUUUCACGCACAAAUGAUCAGAACCGGUGUAGAUUCCGGAACUAGUUCAAAACCGCACUCCUUGAUAUGUAUUCAAGGCACGACCUCAUUGGUGAAUUCCCUUAAGGUGUUUGACGCAAAUGCUUCACAGGGAUGUAGUUGCUUGGAAUGUCUUUGUUGUCGUGCUUUUUGCGAUGCCGGCAACCUCACGAGGCGAUUGGUGUUCUAAGGGACAAUGGAGAGAGAAUGUUGAGCUUAGUGGUUUACAUUGUGUUCUGUUUUGACAGUCGUGUGCUUCUUUGAAGGCUUUGGAACUUGGUAGAUCAGGUUCAUGGAUUGGUGUUUCGUUGGGGCUGAAUUGGUUGUUUUGAGUACACUGCUCUCCAUUGAUUUUAUUUGUGAGUGUUGGGGUGUGUAAUCAAUGCUUUAUUAGUGUUUAUAGUUUGAAUGGUUGGAAAGAUAUAAUGAUUGCUAAUUCGUUGGUUUCUGGGUGUGUAUUAGAUAUGGGAGAUAUGGGGAGAUCGGGUUUAAAGUUAUUAGCUUGGUGAAGCCCAAAGUUGUUGCAUUCACUGUGUUUCUGGUUAGUUGCCUCUGAGAAUUGGAUUUGGCUACCAGGAGACGUAUGACAAGUGCAUUUGUGUUGCGGUUCCGAUUAGGGGCUGUUCACUUUUGAUGACCCCAAUUAUGUAAAUUGUACGUGUUGGACACUCGUCAUGUGCUCAAAUCAGUGGAAGAUUUUCCACUAUGGAACCAGAGACAAAUCCCGCUCGUGUUGAUGGAAUUCGUUCGAAAGGCACUGUGAUUUCAUAGGACUUGUUAUGAUUGAUGCAUAUGGAAAGAAUGUGUGGAAGAGGCAAGCUAUCGAAGGUCUUUGUAAGUAGUGACGAGUGACGAAUCGGGAGUGCAUGGUGUUGCCGAAUGUCCCUGUGACUUUUUAUCUGUUUUGAUCAGUUAGUGAUUCAUUCCCUGGGAUGGUGGAUGGAAGGAAAAAAAAUGGUGGUGUUUAAGUACUCCCUAAUUGAGAACACUUUAGUGGAAGAAUGGAGAACAACUAAUCGCACAAUUGACACACCUUCAGCACCGGAACACUAUGUCGCAAUGCUUCAUAGNNNNNNNNNNNNNNNNNNNNNNNNNNNNNNNNNNNNNNNNNNNNNNNNNNNNNNNNNNNNNNNNNNNNNNNNNNNNNNNNNNNNNNNNNNNNNNNNNNNNNNNNNNNNNNNNNNNNNNNNNNNNNNNNNNNNNNNNNNNNNNNNNNNNNNNNNNNNNNNNNNNNNNNNNNNNNNNNNNNNNNNNNNNNNNNNNNNNNNNNNNNNNNNNNNNNNNNNNNNNNNNNNNNNNNNNNNNNNNNNNNNNNNNNNNNNNNNNNNNNNNNNNNNNNNNNNNNNNNNNNNNNNNNNNNNNNNNNNNNNNNNNNNNNNNNNNNNNNNNNNNNNNNNNNNNNNNNNNNNNNNNNNNNNNNNNNNNNNNNNNNNNNNNNNNNNNNNNNNNNNNNNNNNNNNNNNNNNNNNNNNNNNNNNNNNNNNNNNNNNNNNNNNNNNNNNNNNNNNNNNNNNNNNNNNNNNNNNNNNNNNNNNNNNNNNNNNNNNNNNNNNNNNNNNNNNNNNNNNNNNNNNNNNNNNNNNNNNNNNNNNNNNNNNNNNNNNNNNNNNNNNNNNNNNNNNNNNNNNNNNNNNNNNNNNNNNNNNNNNNNNNNNNNNNNNNNNNNNNNNNNNNNNNNNNNNNNNNNNNNNNNNNNNNNNNNNNNNNNNNNNNNNNNNNNNNNNNNNNNNNNNNNNNNNNNNNNNNNNNNNNNNNNNNNNNNNNNNNNNNNNNNNNNNNNNNNNNNNNNUAAGCAGGGUACUAAACCUACUGCAGGAGUAUGGAUAGCGUUGUUGAAUGCUUGCAGUCUCAGUCAAGAUUUUGAAAGAGGCGAGUUUGCCGCAAAGCAUCUUUUGUUGUUGGAUCCCGACAAAGCUAGCAAUAUUGUGCUUGUAUCAAACUUUUAUGCAGCCAUUGGUAGGUGGGAUUGUGUUGAUGAACUGAGAAGCAUAAUGAGGACAAAAGGGUUGGUCAAGGAAGCUGGGAAUAGCUGGAUCGGCGAGGGCUUCAAUGGACAUGCCAGGUCACUAUCUACUUGAUUGUUCAGCUAUACACCUGGAAAGUGAGAGCCUCACUCCUGUUGGGGUGAUUUGAUUUCUAGUAGAGUCAACCUGGAACUGGUUACAUGAAGAAAAGGAAGCAAGUCAACUGGUAAACGUCUGCUUCCCCAUUCCUAUAAAAUUUCUCUCUCAUUUUAUGUUUCACAUUUUAUGUAUCUCUUGAGUUUCGGUAGCAUAUUUUUGGUAUAUAUGGGCUAAGUCAAAUGAAUUUUCCGUAGGAAGAGAUUUUCUCAUGAUGGAUUUUGCUUAUGUUUUUGCUUAUGUACCUCUUUACCAACUCAGCCAUACAAGCAUCCUUGUUAUAUGAACUCAAGCACUAAUACAUAACAUGAAAAUGAACCAAACUCUUAAAUAAAGCACAGUUGAAAAACAGUAGCAGAGCUCAAACAAGUUCAUCUUAACGCACAGAAAUACUGCUUCUUUCCAUUUUCAAUAUCAAAGAUUUAACAGCAAGAUGUUAUCACAAACAAAUAGGCGGCGGUAUUACUCAAUGAAAUCAAAUCGGAACAACAACCACGGUUACUUCAGAAGAAUGCAAAGCAGAAUCGAAACAUAGAAAUAAAGCUCGGAAAGGAAGCUAACCGGUUGCGGCGAGCUCGACCGAUGAAUGCAGACAAGCGUUGCCUUCAAUUCUCUCCUUCUCUUUUCUGAAUGGUAGCCGCCAAUCCUCUCCAAAAACUAGGGUUUUUCAGCUCUUCCCCAAAAUGAACAGUGGCAUCUCUUUUAUAGUCAUAUUGCAAGAGUCUUUUGAAUUGGCCUCUGAGACCAAAGGGGUGUCGAACUUGGAAGUGCUUUUGGUGCUGCCAGUUUGUCUACCCUGUUUUGGUGCUUACUCUGAAAAAGGUAACUUGUACCUUGUACCUUCUCCUGGAAAU